RNAcentral lists this long non-coding RNA (68299 nucleotides) under Populus tremula. RNAcentral describes it as "long non-coding RNA (PTRE_LNC001310)". Lineage: Eukaryota; Viridiplantae; Streptophyta; Magnoliopsida; Malpighiales; Salicaceae. The record is from RNAcentral.
CCCCAUUCCAAAUGGCAUAAAUCGAAGUGAAUAACAGCCCGUGAUGUCAAGAUAGAUGAGACUUUUCAUAUGCUUCAUACCUCUAGGUAAUUGGAUGAGCUGUGUACACUGACUCAGAUUUAGUGUCUGAAGAUUUUGGAGGGAGGUGGUUGAUGCAGGCAAUUUUUUAAUGUUGGAAUUGGAGACAUCUAGAAACCUUAGAUGUUUCAAAUAACAAAUUGACUUUGGCAAUGUAUUGAGAUAGAUACCUAUAUGCAAGGCUCUCAGAUGCUUUUGUUGGGUGAAAUAAAGAUGCAAAUCAUCACUCACAGUGUGAUGAUAAACUCCAGAAAGCAAAAUUGAGCGUAGUGACCGAGAUUUGAAAUCCUUGUCUUUUGGAACAAACUGUGAUGUCCUGUAUGCACCCACAUGACGAAUUGUUUUAGGAAUUUGCAACUUUGUAUUGCCCUCAAUCAAACAACAUUCUCUCUUCAUAAUGUACUGUGCAAGAUCAUGGAUAAGAUCGUGCAUUUUACAUGAUAUGUUGCCCAGCCCAUCAUCCAUGACUUCUUGAAAAAAAGACCUCCCAACUAAUUCGUGGAAAAUCUCUUCACCCUUAUCGUGCAAAUCCAUUUGCCCAAUGCACGAAAUGAAGCCAUUUGCCAUCCAUAGAGCUACCAACCGCUCCUUCCGAAUGACAUAAUCUUUGGGGAAUAUAGAGCAAAAUGCAAAGCAUUGCUUCACAGCUGGCUUUAGAUUCAUAUAACUCAAACUCAAGGCAGGUAAUAUCUGGCUUCCUUCAUUCGGCAGAUCCCAAAUCUCACUUUCUUUCACAGACAGCCACUCCCUUUCAAUUUUCUUCGAGCGCAUCAGGCUUCCGACUGCUCUUAUAGCCAACGGAACUCCGCUACACUUGUUAACUAUCGCUGCUCCAAUGUUUUCCAAGUGACCAUACUCCUCUCUCCUUCUCAUACCAAAUGCAAGCUGCUUAAAUAAAAGCCAGGAAUCCUCAUCCGACAAUGUUUCCAUAUGUUGAACAGGAUUUGUGGCCAUUUUUUCUGCCAUAGUUCCCAAACGAGUAGUCACAAUAACUGCACUUCCUUUAGCUCCACAACUCAAUGCAUCUUUCAACUUGCUCCAGUUAUCAUGGUCAUCAUCCCAAACAUCAUCCAAUAUGAGCAAAAACUUCGUACCACGUAACUUUUCUUGGAGGCAUCGUAGAAGAGCAUCCAACUGUUGAAUAUUUGGAGUAGUGCGUUGAAUGGACUCGAUGAUGGCUGUUGUCAAUCUUUUUAUGUUGAAAUCAACUGAUACGCACACCCAAAUCCGCAAAUCAAAAUGCCCUUCUAUUCUUCCGUCGUUGUAGACUAAUUGAGCAAGUGUUGUUUUACCCAAGCCCCCCAUUCCACAUAUAGCAUAAACAGAGAAAUCAUCUGAACUGGUGAGCAGCAUGUUGACCAGAUCUUCUUUCUCCUUGCCCCUUCCAUAAAUUUCUGAUUCAUUCACCCAUGACCAAGUCUGACGCCAAUCAAAACUAUCUGCUUCUAUCUCCAAAGCCCCUUCUAUUAAAUGGAAAUUGUGUCUCUCCUUGGCAAUGGCAUCUAGUUUUUCUCUAACAUUCUUCAAUUUAUGCACCAUUUUUUGUCGAAAAACAAGUGGAUUAUGAUUGAUAGAAAAGAAGGAACUAACUCGAUAUUUGAGAUCUCUUGGCUGCUGAUGCCACUGAGCUUCAAUUGCAAACUCAUCUAGCAAAUCAUCAGCGUCAUAAGCUGCAUCCUUGAUGUCUCUGAGCCACACCUUUAUAGGCUCACUCUUCCACUGCUUCUCCUCUGCAUCUUGCAGCACAGCUCGAAUAGUUCUGAACGUGCGGUUGAGAUUUUCAAGCUCGGUCUCUAGGCCCCCAGCAAGUCCAAGCUCUUGAAGAAUUGGGGAAUUCAAGUUCCCCAUGAUUGUACUCGCGACAGCAGAAAUAAUUGCAUCAGCCAUAGCUUGUUAUCGAAUGGAAAAUAAUUGGAUGUUGACAAGAAGUAGAAAAUGUGCAAGGAUAACCAAAAGCAGGGAUGAGGAAACAGAGCAGUGUGGGAUGAGAAAUGGCAAAGGUGAAAGUGUAUGGUGAUGAGCUUUUCUUCUACUAUCGAUCUCUUUUCAUUAGUGAUUGAUAAUGUGAUGGAUCCAUUUCAUUAUUAGUGAUCUCUUCGCUGCAGUUUCAGAGAAGGAACGUGGCUGUGUUUGCUUAUUGGUUAGUAAAAGUCUUCGUCCCGCACUGGCCAGGCCGCUUGGGCUCCACACGGAUAUUAAGUAAUAUUCUAAAAGUAGUUUCCCCGCGCCUUUUACUUAUUCUACUGUACACAUAACCCGCAAUGUUGCGGAUUACUUUUUUAUAAAAAAUAUUAAAAAAAUAAAAAUUUAAAAAUUUUGAGUUUUUCUGCAAAGCUAUACUAAAAAAUCUUGAGUUUAGCUGCAACACUUAAUCUAAGAGUAAUAUUUAUAAUGUUAAUAAUAAAAUUAAACUUGCAUGAUCCAAGUUUAAGUUAGUCUGGCUGCAACAUCGGACCCAAGAAUAUUGGAUGUGGGUCUGACUAUAAGAUCGUGUCAUAAAAAUAUGAUAAUUAAAUAGAUUAAUUAAAAAAAUAAAGAAAAAAAAUCAAUAGAAAGAAAAAAACUAAUAAAGAAAAAGAAAAAAAAUGAAUUAAUUAGGUUAACCCUUUAAACCAGGUUAUCCCGUAAAACCUGAGAUUCACGUCAUAAAAGUUUGAUAAUUAAAUAGAAAAAAAAAUGACGGGUUUACCCAGAAUUAACUGGGUUAACCUAUCAAAUCAAGUUAACUCGUCAAGCCUAGGAUACGUGUUAUGAAAGUAUGAAAGUCUGAUAAUUAAAUAGAAAGAAAAUUAACUUUAACAAACUAAACUAAAUGAAAAAAAUAACUCGUCAAAUCAAGUUAACCUAUCAAACCCGAGAUCUGUAUUAUGAAAAUCUGAUAACUAAAUAAAAAAAUUAUCAUUAACAAACUAAAUCAAACAAAAAAAUUCAUUAAAAAAAUUAAAAAGAAAAAAAUAGUUAUAUAAUAUAAUAAUAAUAACAAUAAUAAGUAAAUAUAUUAGUAAAAGGCGUGACAUGCCCGCGCGAUGCCGCGGGCUUGUGGCAUGCUUAUACAUUAUCGUGGAUUUGUGAAAAAAAUCAUAUAAAAAAAUACAGUUAUCAUCCACAAUAUUUUAAAGGAAAAAACUACAAAGUUAUAUUCUCAACCAGCUCAAUAUUAAAAAAAACAAAAUCGACAAAAACAAUUAUGAAAAAAAACACACAAAAAAUGAAAACAAGAAGAUGACAAUUUUGGAAGAAAAAAGACAAAAAACAAAUAAUAAAAAAUAGGAAAAAAAACAUGUGGGGAAAGUUAAAGCUAAAUUUUCAACCAGCUUAAUAUUAAAAUCAUUUAAGAAAAUAUUGUAGCAAUUUAUAGUAUUUUGUAAAAAAAUAUAUAACUAUAAUUCUUAAACAGUUCAAUAUUAAAAAAAAAUUAAUAAAAAUAAUUUUGAUGGAAAAUAAUUGGAUGUUGACAAGAAGAAGUAGAAAAUGUGCAAGGAUAACCAAAAGCAGGGAUGAGGAGACAGAGCAGUGUGGGAUGAGAAAUGGCAAAGGUGAAAGUCUGGUGAUGGUCUUUACUGUUGCUAUUGAUCAAUUCUUCAUUACAUUAAAUGAAGGACGAAUUUUUUGCUUUUAGAAGUUGUGAUGUGAGCUUUAAACAAAUUAUAUGUUUGAAAAAAACCUACCAUACCUCCUAAGAAUGUUUUUAGCAGUGUGGUAACUGUUAUUUUUCAAAUAAUUUUUUGUACCGAAAGGUACGUCAAUGAUUUUUUUAUUUUUUAAAAAUUAUUUUUAACCAUAUUAAAUUUUAAUAAAAAAAUAAAAAAAAAAUUUACAUCUUAGAAACACAAGUUGAACCGUGUUUCCAAUCACUGCCUAAGCUGCCGUCCUUGACUAUUAUAUUGAUUAGGCUCCACACGGUCGAGACUUGACUAGCUGUGCUUACAAUAAAGCAAUUCAAUUUUCAAAGAAGGAACAUGGCUGUGAUUUGAAGACAAGAUUUGUCUGCCGGUGUGAACCCAAACUUUUGUUCAAAAUGUGAGCCAAAAUCCAAUCUAAAUUAAUUUAGUAUAUAAAAAAGUUGUAUUUUUUUUUUGUAGUUGUUAUAAUUCUCUCUCAUCAAUUAAAAAAUUUUAAUCUUUAAUAUUGAAUUUUUAGGUUUAAAAAAGGUAAAAAUAACAAGUAAGCAAUUCUUUUUCAUGUUUGGUUUGUUUAUGAAAAAAUUAAGAUUUAUAAAGAUUUGAAGUUUAUGUUUUUAAAAUGAAUUCAUGAUUAUUAUGAAUUUGAGGUUAAGUGAUUAAUUUUGGAUGUGUUGUUAGAAAUAAAAAUUUGUGAAUUAAUUUGUUAAGGGUUAAGAAAUUCGCUUCAACUUUGCUAGAAAAUAUGGACAAAAUAAUUUUGAGGUUGAAGAUAAAGAAAUUGUAUUUUGGUCCUUGAUUUAUAAAAAUUACAGUGUAGUUCCUAAACAUUGAAAAAUUAUAAUUUGACCUGUAACUAUAUUUUGGGAUUCUGAGUGGUAUUAUUAUGAGGUUAAGGAUAAUGACUCUCAGUUUAAUAAUUGAUUUAGGAUAUUUUUAGUCUGGUCCUUUAAUUUUGAAAGUUUACAUUUUAAUCCCUGAACUUUAAAGAAAUUAUAGUUCGGUCCCUGGUUCAUUUCUAGAUAGAAUUGAAAAUGGUUUGUUGGUAAAAUUUCAAUAUGGUUAUGUAUUUACAAUUUGCUUCAAUUUUGGUAAAAUUUUGUUUUGGCUCGUGAUUUCUAAAAAAUGUUGUUUUAGUCCUUAAACUCAUAAGAAUAAACCUGGUUUUAUUUUAUGCAUUGGAAUAUAUUUAUUUGUUGUUUUGGGUUGUUUUUUAGUAUAUUCUGGAUAUUUGUUAUAGGCUCUCCUAACAAUCAUCAAUAAAAUUUUCGGGUUUUUCAUUUGAUAUUCCUUUUAGUUAUAUAUUUUCUAAGUGAGUGAAAUAAUCUUUUUAAUAUUUAUAUAGGUUGCUUUAUUUUCUGAAUACUGAUUUAUUCUUGAAUUUAUACUCGCAUUCUAUUAAACUAAAUUAUAUUCGAUAUGAUAUACAUUUCUUUGAUGAUUCUGCGAAUACCUAGCUGGUAAGAGAGGCAUCAACUUGUUGUGACCGAUCCUCCCACAAUGAUCAUUUUCGGGUGUCAUAUGAUCUUUGACAUAUAUUCAACUACUUUAUAAUAAUAUGCUUAAUAUGUGAUCCUCCACAAUGAUCAUUUCGGGUGUCAUCUGAUCACCUUCGGGUAUCAUCUGAUCUUUGACAUAUAUUCAACUAUUUUAUAAUAAUAUGCUUAGUAUGUAUAUGUUUAUCAAGAUAAAUCAACUUGCAAACUAUUAAUAUCUAAAAUAUAUAUUAAAUAUUAUUCCCUCAAUGAGUUGGUUGCACUCACCUUUUAUUUUUAAUAUUAUUUUAGGUUUUUAGUUUCUGUUAGCAAGUGGCCUUUAUUGAGUAUUCUUGCUUCUUCAAUUUUGAUUGAUAUGUCUUGCUUAUUUUAUAAGACUUUCCUUUUAGUUUUGAUUCGAUGUAUUAGACACUUCAUUAUUACUUUAUUUUAAUUAAGUUUAGAUUUUAACAAUGUAAUAAGUAUUAUGAAUUUUUUUUUUAAUUACUGAUAAGAAGUUUUGAACUAUCAUUUAGUUUUAUUAAUUUUGAAUAAUAUAAUAUUUUUAAAGAUAAUGAAAUGCUAUAAAUUUUUAGAUAACUUAUUCUUUUAAUAUGUUUAUUUUAAAACUUAAUGUAAAUGAAAUAUUCUUUUGACAUCGUUUCUAUAUUAUUAGUCAUGAACUCGGGAUUCAUAACUUGAAUUGCCUUGUUUGUUAGCAAACAUCUUCUUCUCUACUCUCAUUUUUUUUAAUCAAUGGCCAGUGGCCGUCGGUGACCCCAUAUCCAUGUAGCCAAGCUGCGCACUGGCCAGACCCUCGGAAACACCAAUAUCUUCCAGCGCUAGUGAAUGCAAGUUGCCCAAGAUUGUAAUUGCAAGAGCAGAAACAAGUGCAUCAGCCAUGUUUUUAGGGAAUCCAUGAUCGAAGAACAGUGCAUAGUGAACUUUUUUUUCCCCGGAUUUAAUUCAAAUAAAUGUGUUACCUUCCAAUUAAUCUGGUAAUUACAGAAGAAAGAAGGGAUCUUGAAUAACAAGAAGAACAACAGAAGAAAAGAAACAGAGAGAAAGAGAAACUUUUAGUAACAUUCAACACUGGUUUUUUUUUUUUUUUUUUUUUUAACAAAAUCAACAUUCAACUCACACCAUUAAUAUUGUAUAUUUUUUUUUUUGUUAAUCAUAGGUACCCCAUGUUAGCUUUCACAUACCAAACGAAGUCUUUACAACCCGAAAUCAAUUUUUACAUAAGAUUAAAUUGCAUGUUUGAAACGCGGUGAAAAUUAUAUUCUAAAACUUUUAAUUCUUUACUUAAGAUAAAUUUUUUAUAUAUUUUUAUUAUUUUGAUGUAUUUUAUUAAAAAUAAUUUUUUUUAAAAAAAUAAAAAAUUUUAUUUUAAUAUAUUUAUAUACAAAAAAUAUUUUAAAUCACCACCAUUAUUUCAAUUUCAAAAAGAUAAAGCCCUGUGACCCGUGGCCCUAAAAGAUUUAAUGCUAGAAAAAUUCAAACAGGAGAAAGCAAACCUCCAAGCCCAUAACUAAAUACGGCUAGACCAACUCUUUGAGUUUCUAUUUACAUUGUUUGCUUGCUAUUGAUACUUCAUUCAUGGACAGACCGGAGUCCAGCCUGACGUGCAGCAUCACGAACUUCAGGUUUCUCAGUUCGCCUCUUCUGUAUGAGUAUGACCUCCAAAGUAGCACCUACAAUAGACCUUGAGAAAGGCUUUUUUGUAGCACGACGUCUCUUCGUAAAAGUUUCAGCAGCAAUGUCCUGUAAUUAUUAGGAAAGUUGUAUCAAAAUCAACAUCAUGAGUUCUUAUCUAAAGGGAAACUCAUCCUACAAAUAGAAGUUAAUUGGAAACUACAAAAAAAUAGUCACCUUCUUAUGUUGCUUCCUGUACAUUCUGUCCAGGUUAACUUUGAGGGCUUCCACCUGCUGUGGAAGUAUCUCUUGCAUUUAGAGUUGGCAAAGAGGAAGACCUUAAUUGAUUGAAAAAGCACCACUUAUUAGUUUCAUGGAUUGUAUUGCAGAAGAUAUUAAAUAAAAACAAAACACAAUACGCCUUCGACUCCGAACUGCAAAUUACCUGGGAAUCUGAGCGAACGAAUCUGAUGCCCUUGCCAGGAUAUGUCUUCGCCCCACUGAACCGGCAGAGUUCAGUCCUGAAAUCUUCCAGACCAGACAAGUUUGAUGCUCGUCAUGAUAACAUAUUGAAAACCUCAGAUGAGAUCAUUUGCAUAUAAAAAUGCUUCAUUCCAAGACAUAUAAGUUUGAUGGUUAACAAUGGCGUAUCUAAAACCUCGAUGAGGUUAUUCGCACGGUCAUGACGAAUAUUCUCAGAGGUGCAUCAGAUCCUAAAACCCCUUGGCAGAGGUCCAAAAACCCUUUCAAGUGGUCACAGACAGCAGGAAACAAUGAACUCUCGUCCCAACUUCAACUUCAUUGAAGCCUUAGCCAUUCUGUUCUCUUUGCUAUGUUUUCACUAGAAGCAUAUUUAUGGAAGAGAAAUCAUGGAUCUUUGGAACAACAUCUGCAUAAAUCUAAUUCAAACUCUAUCAUUGCAAUCCCUUUUGAAUUUCAUCACUUUUUUUUAAAAAAAAAAGUGCUAAAAAGAAUGUAAAGUUUCUGAGAGUUUUCUUUCUUUUGCCUUGUUAGGAAAUUCUUUAUUAAGAAUGUAUAAAAAAAGAGUAAAUGGAGCUUUGCUUUGUUCUAGAUGAGCAUCCAUGCAUGGUUUAAUAAGUAGAGAAUAAAAUCUUCCAUGAAAGCUUUAGUGUGAUAGACUUGAAUUACAACAAAGAAACUGACAAGCUGAGCACUAGAAAAGAUCAUUCAAGAUCUCAAUUAUGAAGGUUAAAACCAAAGCAUAAAGCAUAUUAUACAUUACAGCAAAAUCUAAUCGAUCAUAGUCCAAGAUCUUACAUUUAUGCUCACCCCCUAUCCUUGUGCAUAAAAACAAAAAAACAAAAUUAGGUUUAAAAGCUACUAUUUAAACUGUAUUACAUAUAUAUAUAUAUAUAUAUAAAAUUUCAUAUCAAAACCAUAUAAAAAAAAUUAAGAUCUUAAAUUUAUGCUCACCCCUAUCCCUAUUUUUUGUAAUCAAGAUUCCUGAAAAGUAUGAUCUCAAAGCUACCUAUGUUUGAGUGAUUUGUACCGUACCAAAAUUUUAAUUCAUGUGCGCUAACUUGAAAAGCAAAUGAUCUGAAAUCAAAAUGGAACACAUGACUAGUGUGAUUAUGGACAUGUUGCAAGAAAAGGUUUUUACUCAAGAAAUUACUCGAAAAAAAGGUGAAAGAUGUUGUUCGGACGUAUAUUAGGAAUUUUAAUGAUUAUCAAUUACAGGUUGAAAGCUUUAGAAAAUAUUAGUUUGGGAAGGUAUGUUCUUCCCAAACUAGCUUUACAAAAUGUUAGACGGAGAAAUAUUGCAUUUGAGCAGGAAAUUGUAGUUUUACACAUAGUUUUAAAACCCGGACCGGCCCGGCGGAUUGACCUGGGACCCGGCCGACCCGGGCAUGGGACCGGUCUGGGUGGAGGUCAAAACCCGCUUGGGAAUUGGUCCGGCCAGACCCGGUCGACCCGAGACCCGGCCGCAAACCCGUUAACUUUUUUUUUUUGUUUUUUUUUGUGUUAAAACGACGUCGUUUUGAUUUUUUAAAAAAAAAUUAAAAAAUAAAUUUUGACCCGGCCGACCCGGUCAAAAUCCGAAACCCAGGCCUUAGACCGGGCCGGGUCUUAAAACUAUAGUUUUACCUUUUCUUACUCUUGUUUCAAGAAAUUUGAAGUACUCUUCUAUUUGUGAAUAAUUUAAUAUUUCUUUAAGUGUAUUUUUUAUUAUUUCAUGUCAAAACCAUAUAAAAAAAAACAAUUAAAAGGGCACAGUUUUGAUAUUUUUAUGGAAAAAAUUAAUUAACAAAAUAUUUUCAAUUAUAUUACUAAACAUGCAUCUAAGCGACAUGACUCACUUGUUUUUGGUUGGUGCAUGUUACAUACGUUAAUGACCAUUAAUAAUUUUUUUUUAUUAUUGAAUUUGUUUUAUUGAAUUUUUUUUAAUUAUAUUAAAAAUAUUAUUAUUAAAGUUUCAAUGUGUUUUCAAUUCUCUUUUCUCUUUCUUGUUGAAGUUUGUAAAACUAUUUUUUAUGUAUUUUUUAAAUAGAUGCACUUUCUAACUAUAAGAAUUUGAAAAAAUCACAAGUGGAAAUUGCUAUUUACAUCAAAUUAGAAUAAUUUUAAAAUAUUUUUCUUUGUGUUAAUUAGCUAUUUAAAAAAACAAAAAAAAUGUGAUUUUAUUUUUAAAAAACUCCCAUCUUAUAGCAUUGGAUUAGGAUAAAGGUGCUUUCAAAAUUUGUGCGUAGAAUAUGUUCUUUCUAAUAUUCCGAUCAAUGACCAUCCAAUGGGUUUCUUGUAACCAUCAUCAAUCCAAUAUUGGAGAUAAGGUUUCCAGAAUCAUAAAGCCCUGCCGUUUUGGCACCUGAUGCCAACAUUAUUGGCCUACAGAAAGACAAUCAAAACUACUAAAGGCCAAUCACCGCCAUGCGAGUAAAGAUAUGUUUCGGAUUGAGUUUUGAAAAUAUUUUUGAAAAAAAAUGAUUUUUUUUUUAAAAAUCAAGGUAAUAUAAUGGGUCAUGUAUACAAAUAAAAUUACUGACAUAACUGAUUUCGUUUGUAAAAUCCAUCAAUAAAUUCAUUUGUAAACUGUUAACUUCUUCCUGACACUGUUUAUCAUGUCAAUUAUAAAGAAAAUCAUUGACAAAAUAUUCUUUUGAUAUUUCUUAGAGAACUUUGCAACUAUUUACUUUCCAAUUGCACUAUUAAUUAUUAUUUUUUAUAGAUAAAAUCACUGACGGAUUGAAAAUUUAUCGGUGUUAUCUGGCGGGUUUCUGAAAAUCUUUUAUUAAAUUAAAUAUUACAGACGAAAUCACCGAUGGAUUGAAAAGUUGUAGGUGAUAUUUGGCGGUUUCUGAAAAUUUUGUAUUAAAUUGAAAAUUUAAAUUAACUAUUACAGACGAAAUAAUUGACGGAAUGAUUAAAAAUAUUAAUAUUUAAUUAUUCAUCUGUAAAACACCCAAUAAAAAGACUAGAAUCCUUUAUUUCACAAUAGACGUGCCUCUUUUUUCUUCUUCUUCUUUUUUUUUUUUUUAAAAAAAAACAUCAACAUCCCUUUCUUUCUCUUCUCUCCUCAACUCCUUAUUUAUUUAUUUAAACGCUGCUUUUCAUUUUUAUUUUAAUGCUAUGUUUGUUUAUGAAGUUGCAUCUGUGUUUGAAGCAAAACACAGGAGUAACAUAUUUGAUAAUAAAAAAAACAUCAUUUACUGUUUAUGGGCCCCAUUGUUAUCCACCUUUGCAACGCAGAAUGAGACAAAGUAGCUCUUCGCUGCUUUUGUGGAGAGUGAAAAGUGGAGGGUGACUCCACUAUUCCGGUUGGAAUGGGUCCAAUUCAAAGCUAAAAAUGCAUUGAACCGGAUCCGAUCCAGUAAAAUAAAAAAAUCAUUUUUUUUAUUUUUAAUUGUGUUUUAUUAAAAAAAAAUUAGUGUUUUAACAUUAUUCAAUGACAUUAUAUAAAUUAUACGGGGAUUGCUUAAUGACGUAAUAUUUGUAGAAUUUGAUCAUAAUCCUAAUUUUAUUCAUGAUGUUGUUGUGCGCUUAAGAAACCAAGAAAACUGUAGUCAUUGUUGAAUGUAUUUCAUAUGUAAUGGAAUUGUAGAUAGUUUAAUGGAACAAUAAAAAAUAUUUUAUAUAAAGUAUUAUUUAUUUUAUGAUGUAAUAACAGUAAUUAAAUCUACAAUAUUUAAAUUAAAAACCAUCAAUAGUAAUAUAUAUUUUUUGAAAUUAUUUUAUAAUCUCAAUUUGAAAAGCAUUCUUAACCAAAUACAUUAAACUAUUUUUUAGUUCAACUUUAAUUUUAACCAAACAUAUAUAAAUAUCAAACCAACCUUAACUAAAAAUACUUUUUAUAAAAUACAUUUUUCAAACCACAACCAUAAAAGCUACCACAAUACCAAACACACUCCAGGUGUGUUUAUUUCUUGGAAAGUGGUUUCCCAGAAAUCACUUUCCAAACUUUCAUGUAUUUAUUUGCCAUUAUGAAAGUUGAUCAACAGAAAACACUUUCCAGUCAAAGAAAAAUUUGGCUUGGUUUCCAGGAAAGUGUUUUCCUUUUAUUUUGGGCGAAAAACACUUUCCGGAAGUUGUGAAAAAUUUAGAAAUGUCAUAUUAUUUGUUGAUUAUAUCAAAUUUGGUCCUCAAACUUUUGAUUGCUAUAUAUAUUUUGUUUUGAAUAUUUGUUUUUCAAUUUCAUCCCUUAGAAUUGAAUUUUUAUAUAAACUUUGGUCCUCAUUUUUAUUUUGCUUUUCCCUUAUUAUUUUUUAAUUGGAAUUUUUUAUCUAUCAAAUCUGGUCCUCAUUCUUUUGAUUGUUAUUUAUUUUAUUUGAAAUAAUUUAUGAAAUGAUAAUUAUUAUUAUUUUAAUUUCUUCAUCUUUUUAUUUUUUUAUUUUUUAGAUUUGAUCUCUAUUAUUUUGAUUAUUAUUUAUUUUAUUUGAGAUAAUUUAUAAAAUUAUAUAUAUUUUUUUAAUUUCAUUCUCAUUCAACUUUUUAAUUUGUAAGAUUUAUUCCUCAUUAUUUUAAUAAAUUUUAAAAAAUAAAAUAUUAAUAAGUUAUUUUCCAGCUCAUUUUCCAUGACAUAACCAAAUACUAAAAAGUAUUUUCUAAUUUAUUUUUCAUGAUACUAUCAAAUAUUGAAAAAUAAUUUAUUUUUCUAAAAUUUAAUUUUUUUUAAAAAAUUUACUUUUCAGUAAAUAAAUAGGAACUUAACUGACACCUCCCAAGUCCUAACGGAUAUCAUGGACCCGUAGGGUAGAUAUUGCCCCUUAGGAUCUUGCUUUCUUCUUCUAAGGCCCGCAUGUUGAUAUUGACCAUCUUGGGCACUUAUGGAACUUGGCCUGGGUUGACAGGUCGACCUGCGACCUGUUUACCCGGGCAUUCAAACUGGAUUGGAAAUUAAUUUUGUUAAACAAAGGUGAUAUGUUCUAUCAAUUCAUAAUUAUCGAUUCGAUUGAUCUAAUUAAUUUUUUUUUAUAUAAAAAACAACUUCGUUUAUUUAUGUUUAUUUAAUUAUUUAUAACUUUUUAUGCCUAAACGAGCCUGGACUUGGAUCGAAUCAGAUGACGAGCCUGGUCUGAUAACUUAGCCUUGAAGUUUAUUCUGUUAGAUCAUUAUUGUUUACUGUGUUAGGCAACAGAUAUCCCUCUAUUCAUACUCAGCUUAAUUUUUCAAUUUUGACUUUUAAAAAUAUGGAGAGAUAUAUGUCAAAUUCCGAUCGGUUCUGAUUUUAAGGAAAAAUAAAAAUUUAUUAAGAAUUCAAAAACAAAUUCAAAAAAUGCUAUUUUUUAUAUAAUUUGAAAAAAUAUAUAUUCUAAACUUUGUUUUAUAAAGCUAAAAAAUUACUAAAAAAUAUAUUUAAUUUAUAUUUAUGUAUACGAUAAUUGUUAAUUUAUUUAAUACUUGUUAAUUUAUUUUUUAACUUUAUUUUAUAAAGCCAACAAUGAUUAAAAAAUAUAUUUAAUUUUUAUUUAUUUAUACUAUACUUGUUAAUUUAUAUAACACUUUUUUAUGUCUUCAUCAAAAUUUUCGUGAAAAAUUAAAUUGAAAAAUCAUGGCUAUGAAAAAUAAACAAUACUCAUUUACUCCCUCAAAUAUGUUUCAUCAGUAAAUCCAUAAUUUUUCUUCGCUGAAUAUCAUUAGAUUUUCAUAAAAAGAUAUGAUUAUAAAGGUGAACAUCUUAGUGAUUUUUUAAAUUUUAUUAUUAUUUUUAGAGUUCUAAAUAAGAUUUUCUUUAAAUUAGAACCAAUAGAAAUCUAACUCGUGUUCUUCCAUAUCUUUAAAAGACAAAAUUAAUGAAAUAUUAGGCUUACUCUGAACAGAGAGAUCUAUACUGCCUAGUAGACAAAAUCAUAGAAACCCAAUUAUAUAAAUUUAAACCAUAAGGAUAUCUUUAUCAAAUAUCAAUAUAUCAGAGAGAUUCAUAGUACCAUUAAACCAAAGUUACACCUAAACUUGUCAUGCAAUAAAACACGUGCAUAUUCAUACAAUAAAAAUAAUAAAUAGACGUAUUUCUCCCUUUCUAUUACAAAGAUCAUUGCAAUACUUAGUAGAUGUAAACGGAAGGGAUGUGAGCUAUCUUAGGCCAGUCUUCUCCUCGCUCCUUCUCGCACCUUUUCUUCAAAUUUGGACAAUUUUCAAUUAUCAAGUCGCUGAGGUUGCUGAGACUCUGUAGCCCUUCUGGCAAACAUACCAAAUUAGGGCAUAUACAGAGUGUUAGAGAUCGGAGAGAAGUAAGAUGUUGGAUACUCUUUGGCAAUGAAUUCAGCUCUGGACAAAGUCUAAGCUCCAAAUCCUCAAGUACUGUCAGAUAUUGCACUCCCUCGGACAGAGACACAAAUUUAUCACAAUUGCUAACAGAUAACUUACGAAGAGAUGAUAAGCCGGACAACCCAUUCAUUGGCAGAGUGUAUAAUCUUGUACAACUAUCUAUCUCUAAAACCUCCAAAGAAGUGAGUUUUCGAAGACCUUCCUCUGGCAAGCUUUCAAGUUCAUCAAAAUGCCGGAUACUCAAGCUUUUAAGAGCUGAAAGGUUGUCAAAUACCUUAUUUGACAAAGACGGCAGAUUUCUCAUCCCAACCAUAUAUAAGAACUCGAGGAGUGUAUGAUUUUGCAAGAACCCAUCUGGAAGCAGCCUCACAUCAAUCCAUUCAAUAGAAAGGAAUGUGAUAGAAGUAAAUUUCAUAACUGACAUCAGUAACGAAGCAUUGCCUCUAUCGAUGAUUAACCUUUUGACGGAAGGUAUAAUUGGUAUUUCGGUCAACAAGGGGCAACGAACUACAGAUAAUUCUCGAAGACGAGGAAAACUACACGGAGCCCAUUGCUCUAGUCUCUUCAUUGAAAUAAAUUUCAGCCUCUCCAAAGAUGGGAAUGGAUUUUGCUCAUCUCCAUACACAUGGCUGUCAAUACACUUCACACCAUCCAUUCCAUCUAGUUCAAGAUUCUUGAGGAACUGUAAUUUCCCAAAUGGUGGAAGUUGUUCACAGUUGCCACAUGCUAUUAGCUUCAUCUCUACUAGAUUCGGUAGCAUCAAGUUCAAGUUCAUCAUCCACUUUGGAAAUUUUGAACCCCCAUAUCCAAUUAAUCUCAAUUCCUUCAGAUUUGAAUGAGGUUGAAGCCCAUCAAGGACAUCCUCAUUAUUUUCAGCUGAUUGCACACAAGUAAAAGGGCGGCGACCUCCAUUCUCAUUCCAACAUAAAUUCAGUGAUAGAAGAGUUGUCUUCAACAUCAAAUUGGCACUUCUGGCAUCUGUUAAAUUCUUAACAUUAACAAGAUCUGUGAUGCUUAGUUCACCAGCAAGAUUAUUCAGCCUUUCUAGCUCCCCUAAGUGACGACCAUCCUCCUUACCCACAAUGAACAGCCCAAGUUUUCGCAGGCAUGUUAAUUGCCCCAUUCCAAAUGGCAUAAAUCGAAGUGAAUGACAGCCCGUGAUGUCAAGAUAGAUGAGACUUUCCAUAUGCUUCAUACCUCUAGGUAAUUCGAUGAGCAGUGUACAAUGACUCAGAUUUAGUGUCUGAAGAUUUUGGAGGGAGGUGAUUGAUGCAGGCAAUUUUUCAAUGUGGGAAUAGGAGACAUCUAGAAACCUUAGAUGUUUCAAAUAACAAAUUGACUUUGGCAAUGUAUUGAGAUGGAUACCUAUAUGCAAGGCUCUCAGAUGCUUUUGUUGGGUGAAAUAAAGAUGCAAAUCAUCACUCACAAGGCGUGUGUGAUGAUAAACUCCAGAAAGCAAAAUUGAGCGUAGAGACCUAGAUUUGAAAUCCUUGUCUUCUGGAACAAACUGUGAUGUCCUGUAUGCACCCACAUGACGAAUUGUUUUAGGAAUUUGCAACUUUGUAUUGCCCUCAAUCAAACAACAUUCUCUCUUCAUAAUGUACUGUGCAAGAUCAUGGAUAAGAUCGUGCAUUUUACAUGUCAUGUAGCCCAGCGCAUCAUCCCUGACUUCUUGAAAAAAAGACCUCCCAACUAAUUCGUGGAAAAUCUCUUCACCCUUAUCGUGCAAAUCCAUUUGCCCAGUGCUCGAAAUGAAGCCAUUUGCCAUCCAUAGAGCUACCAACCGCUCCUUCCGAAUGACAUAAUCUUUGGGGAAUAUAGAGCAAAAUGCAAAGCAUUGCUUCACAGCUGGCUUUAGAUUCAUAUAACUCAAACUCAAGGCAGGUAAUAAUAUCUGGCUUCCUUCAUUUGGCAGAUCCCAAAUCUCACUUUCUUUGACAGACAGCCACUCCCUUUCACUUUUCUUCGAGCGCAUCAGGCUUCCGACUGCUCUUAUAGCCAACGGAACUCCGCUACACUUCUUAACUAUCGCUGCUCCAAUGUUUUCCAAGUGACCGUACUCCUCUCUCCUUCUCAUACCAAAUGCAAGCAGCUUAAAUAAAAGCCAGGAAUCCUCAUCCGACAAUGUUUCCAUAUGUUGAACAGGAUUUGUGGCCAUUUUUUCAGCCAUAGUUCCCAAACGAGUAGUCACAAUAACUGCACUUCCUUUAGCUCCACAGCUCAAUGCAUCUUUCAACUUGCUCCAGUUAUCAUGGUCAUCAUCCCAAACAUCAUCCAAUAUGAGCAAAAACUUCUUACCACGUAAAUUUUCUUGGAGGCAUCGUAGAAGAGCAUCCAACUGUGGAAUAUUUGCAGUAGUGCGUUGAAUGGACUCGAUGAUGGCUGUUGUCAAUCUUUUUAUGUUGAAAUCAACUGAUACGCACACCCAAAUCCGCAAAUCAAAAUGCCCUUCUAUUCUUCCGUCGUUGUAGACUAACUGAGCAAGUGUUGUUUUACCCAAGCCCCCCAUUCCACAUAUAGCAUAAACAGAGAAAUCAUCUGAACUGGUGAGCAGCAUGUUGACCAGAUCUUCUUUCUCCUUGCCCCUUCCAUAAAUUCCUGAUUCAUCCACCCAUGACCAAGUCUGACGCCAAUCAAAACUAUCUGCUUCUAUCUCCAAAGCCCCUUCAAUUAAAUGGAAAUCGUGUCUCCCCUUGGCAAUGCGAUCUAGUGUUUCUGUAACAUUCUUCAAUUUACGAGCCAUCCUUUGUCGAAAAACAAGAGGAUUAUGAUUGAUAGAAAAGAAGGAUCUUAGCCAAUUUUUGAGAUCUCUUCGCUGCUGAUGCCACUGAGCUUCAAAAGCAAACUCAUCCAGUACAUCAUCAACAACAUAAGCUGCAUCCUUGAGGUCGCUGAGCCACACCUUGAUAUGCUUACUCUUCCACUGCUUCUCCUCUGCAUCUUGCAGCACAGCUUGAAUGGUUAUGAACGUGCGCUUGAGAUUUUCAAGCUCGGUCGUUAGGCCCCUAGCAAGUCCAAGCUCUUGAAGAACUAGGGAAUUCAAGUUCCCCAUUAUUGUACUCGCGAGAGCAGAAAGAAUUGCAUCACCCAUGGCUUGUUUUGGAAUGGAAAAGAAGAAGUAGAAAAGGUGCAAGGAAAACUAAAAGCAGGGGAGGUGAGCAAGAAAUGGCAAGUAAAAAUUGAGAAGACAGCAGUAUGAGAUGAAAAAUGGAAAAGGCAAACAGCAGUCUCUGAUUAUAUUGAUUAGGCUCCACACGGUGCAGGCUUGACUUGGCUAUGCCUAUAAUAGUAUAAUAAAGCAAUUGAAGUUUCAGAGAAGGAACAUAGCUGUGAUUUCAAGCAACAUUUGUCAAUUAUCGCAUGCCUUUUCCUGUUUUAAACAGAAACGUGAUUAACGCUUUUGGCUGUGAAUUCUCAAGGGUAUUUUUCUUUUCAAUAUAUUCUCCAUUAGUUAGAACACAGUGCAAAAAGUUUUUCAUAAAUGUGUUUUAAUCCUCGGUUAGAGUUAAUUUAUUCUUAAUGACAGUAGAAUGACAUCAUAAUCACAACUAAUCUCAAAAACUUAUUUAAUCAACUUAAUAUUAAAUAAUAAAAUAAAAUAAAAAAUCGAGGUAAUCAAGCAACCCGCGACCUGGACAAAUUCCAACAGGAACACAAGAUUGGUUAUGUAAAAAAGAAGUGCAGAAGGACCAAAUAAUUGCUCACUCCGUGGAAUAAACAAAUAUUAGUCUAUCUUGGACAUGAAUAGAGAAAGGUUAUUAUAUUUUCAAAUAUUUGUGAUUUGAGAGUUGGGGUUCAAUUUUAUCAAAAUAUUAAAACCGCUGUCUUUUAACUACACUGAUUAGGCUCCACACGGUGCAGACUUGACGAACAUUGAAUGUCUGUAUUAAAGCAUUGAAGUUUCUGAGCAGCGACACGGCUGUGAUUCGAAGACAACAUCUGUCAACUUGAAUUUCCUUGUUGGUUACUAAACGUCUUCUUCCCGCGCUUGCCAACCCGCGUGGCUCUACACACUUAAAUUUUAAAGAAUUACAUUAGGCUCCACACGGUGCUGACUUAACUAGCCAUGCCUGUAUUAAAGCAAUUGAAGGUUCUGAGAACCAACACAGCUGUGAUUAGAAGACAACAUUCCACCUUGAUUUUUCUUUUCAAUUGAAGUUUUUGCUUGCUCAAAUAAUUUAUCUAUGCAAAAGUCAAAAUGUAUUUUUAUAACGAAAUAAUUACUUUCUCAAAUAAUUCUGAUUACAAAACUUUAAAUACCAUUGAAAAUGAUUUUUCAAUAAGAAAAAUGCAUACAUGCCUAGUUGCUCAUAUGCUAAUGUACUUAUCCACUACUGUGCUAAUUUGUGAAAUAUUUUUGUCUACUGCGUAUAGAAAAAAACUCUCAAAUUUCUCUUUGUUCUCUGUUGUACCAUCAAAAGAAAAAUCCAAAGUGAUAAUGCAACAUCCAAAAGUAUAAAAUAUGGUAUAAAAACCAAAUAAAAAAAUAAUAAUUAGGGAUUAAAUUAAAAAAUAAAAUAAAAUAAGAAAAAAAUUUAAAAAUAGCAAUAAAAAGAAUAAAAACUAUUAUUUAAUGAAGAAAUUAAAUGAAAUAAAAUAUUGAGAGUUAAAAAUAAAAAACAAUAAAUCAAGAAAAUAAUAAGAAAAAAGAAAUUAAAAGAAUAAUGAUAAAAUUUAAAUUAAAAAAUUUUAAAAAAUAAAAUGAUAAAGGAAAAAAUAAAUCAAGAAAAGAGUAAAUUAUAUUAAAAAAAAACAUUAAACAAAACAAGAAUUAAAUUAGAUACCAAAACUAAAUAAAAUAACUGACUGGGCUCUACACAGUGCAGACUUUGACUAUCUAUGCCAAUUGAAGUUUCAGAGAAGUAACAUGGCUAUGAUUCGAAGACAACAUUUAUGAACUUGAAUUAGCUUGUCGGUUAGUGAAUGUCUGUGUCCCGCACUGGCCAAUCCGCGUGGGUCUCACACGCCAGGCAUGAAAGACAAGAAUGCCUCAAUCAGAUGCAUGAACAUAAAAGAUGGAAGAAAAGAAAAGAUGGUGGAGUCCUUUAGGUGGGUCUCCACGAAGAAAUUAUGCAACCAAGAGGCAAUGUACCCUUCACUUUCAUAUCCAAAGAUCGCAAAAUAUCUGAUCAAAACUGUGAUCCAAUUUUGCCCGUGUGAGAUGGAGGAACUUCCCGGAGGAGGGAGGGUUUUUAGGCGAGUUAAGCAUCUCCAAUAGAGAUGUUAUUUUAAAAAGAUAAAUUGAUAAAAUAAUAUUUUAAAUAGUAUAAAUAUAACUUUUUUUACGAUGUAUAUUUUAAUAGAAAAAAGUUAUUUGAAAAACCAAUUCUAUUAUAAUAGAAUAAAUAAGUGUUUUAUAUUUUUUUAAUAAUUUUGAUGUUAUUUUUUUUCUACAUGGCUAGAUUUAAUUGAUUUUUUUUUUUUUGCCCCACUUGGUUAAUUUUGGCUUUUUUAAAAGAUAUAUAGGAAUAAUAUUUAUGGAAAAGAAAAGGUAUUUUAGCAUUUUAUUUAGCUUUUUCUUUGAAGUAUAAAAACAAAUAAAAAAAAACCAAAAUAUUAUUUUUUUAUUUUUAAAUAUUUAUUUAGCCUCUCCAUUGGAAAUGCUCUUAAGGUUUGGUUUCAUUGCUAUGGAGGAACUUCCCGGAUUCCGGCUACAAGCCUAUCUACCUAUCUUUAACUUGUCCUUGUGGGUGUGAGUUGUGACUUCUGCUUCCAACAUAUGGAUUGUGCUUUAUAUAAUUUUAUAAAGAUCCAAAAUUGCAUGAAAAAAAAUAAAAAAAAUAUAAAACUUUAAAGAGAGAAAUAAUUAAGCGUUGAAGAGACACCAUAAUUCUAUUAUAGGGAAACUCUCAUGUUACUCUCCAACUUGUAUAUCCAUUCUCAAUUACAUUUAAAACCUACGAAUUUUUUCAAUUAGGUUCCAAACAUUUCAAAAUAUUCUCAAUUAGUGUUUUUUUUUUUUUUUUGUCAACGUUGUCGGUAUUUUUGUCAAAUAUUCUUAAAACCGAUGUCUGUUUUAGAGCAUAAAUAUACAUAUUGGAUAUAAAAAAUAUGAAUACUCGUAAAAAACAGUUCCUCUAUUUUUAAAAGAUAAAUUAAUUAAAUUUUUUUUAAAAAUAAAUUACCUAGUUCAUUGACCAGGUUACUUUUUUUAUAAUAUUUAUUUAUUCAUUUCCUUUCUUCUAUUUUCUUUUUAAAAAAAACGUAAAUGAACAGAAAGGACUAAAUAUAUAUAUUUUUUUUUAAAUAACUAAUUACUUCAUUUCUCAAAACUAAAAGGACUUAGUUUUAUAAUUUAGACCACAAGGGUGCAUUGGAAACCUUGGACUCCAAGGGUGAGUCAUCUCCACGUACUAUUGAGGAUUAGGAUGAAUAUUGAAAGUGACCUUACCUGCAACACGUGGUCGUAUGGUCUUUCAAUUUCAGGUGACACAUGGGUCCCACAAACCAUCAUCAUUUUAUUUCAUUUUCCCCUGCCUUGUGGAGAGAAAAAGAAAACCAACCAAGUCUUCUUCCUCCCUCUCUCCAGGACAGGAAGCGGGACCCAAUCUCAAAUACCCAACCCAAUCCUAGCCGUUGAUUGUUUUUUUCCUGGAUUCCUACUCUCUCUAUCUAGCUAUCUACCUGAUCCAGCUGGAUUUAGCUGUUACAAACUGUAACAAUCAUAUUUCACCCGCUUGAGUUGAGCUUGAGCUAUCUACCUAGCUAAGCCGUCGAGCAGUAAUAUUCAAGCCGACUUGAAAUAUUAGCUGCCAUUACGAUUUCCGUCACCAGUCUAACAUCUAAUUAAUAACUUUAAUAAUCAUUCAUUUCAUAUAUUAAUAACAAUAACAAUAAUAAUAUUGUACUCAAAACUUAUAAAUAAAAUAAAAAUUUUGAAUUUUUAAAUCUUAUAUAAGAUAAUAAUUCUUAUUAAAUAAUUUCUUACCAUCAUAAUCAUUAUAUUAGCCACAAUAAAAAUUAUCGGAUCUAGACAGUUAGGCAUAACCUCGAGCCCAGCUCGAUUAUAAAAAAAUAUUUCAGCUUUCAUCGCCCACAAACCUCCCUCCCUCCCUCAUUUUUUAUGGUUUAAUUCUAUAAUACACUUCAAGCUAUUAGGACAAUAUUGAAUUUAUAUUUAAACUAUUUUAAUUAUAAUUAUUCCGAGUCAUGAGAUCAUAGGUUGCUACAACGCAAUUUUUCUAUGGACAAAAUUUAUUUUAUAGUGCCGGCGGGGUAUCUUUUGAAGUGUUCAUGUAUAAAUUUGAAGCAAAGUAAUGAAGAGACGUGAGACAAUGCAGUAGUGAAACAGAGUUAUUUAUUCAUACCUCUUUCUUAUGAAGAGACGUACAUGUGUAUAUAUAGAGUGGGAAAAACUUGCAGCAAGGAAAGACAAUCUUGCAUAUAUUUUCUCCCAUGAUUAUUGCUAAGAUUAUAUGUUAAUAGUAAAUACACAAUCAUAUCUAAACUAGAUAACAAGUACUUGAUGAGUUGUUGCCAAUGGUUAGGUUUAAGAGAAAAACAUGGCAGCUCCUCCUUUAUGGGUAUGCUAUAUAUAUACUUCAUCUAACCAACAAAAGAGAAGUAAUAUAUUUUUCUUUGCAGAUAUCUAGAGACAAAGUUCUUCUCUGCAGUGAAGCCAAUGUAGGGGAGACCUGUAACCCUGAUUUUUUUUUUUUAAUUAAUAUGGUUAUUCGGGUUAGCUUACGCCUACUUCGAUUAAUUCUAUUGCAUGAACCUUGAAAUUAAUAACUAUAUAAGUCUUCAAUAAUCUUGAAAAUAUUUAAAUUCAUGAUCAUUAAAGAAUAAACUCAAAAUUUAACUUGUUGAGUUACCCCUCAAGAUUUCUAAUACCCUGACUCUUGUUUACACACAAUGCCGGCGGUGAUAGUUAGGGGUGAUCAUUUUCGAUUUGGUUCGGUUUGAUUUUUAUUAAAAAAAAAUAAUCAAACCAAUUUUUUUUUUUUAAACCAAAACUAGUUCAAACCAACCGGUUUUGGUUCGGUUUUUUAGGACAAAAAGCCGGUUUGGCUCGGUUUUCUUGGUUUUGACUCAGUUUUUUCUGGUUUUGGCUCUGGUUUUUUGAUUUGGCUCGAUUUUUUCUGGUUUGGGUCCGGUUUGGUUUGGUUUUUUGGUUUUAGACUUAUAAAACCAAAACCAAACCAACUGAUUUUUUUAAAAUUUUAAUUAAUUUUUUUCACGAUUUAAUUUUUUCAAUUAUUUUUUUCAGUUUUCUUAAUUUUUCGAUAUUUUUACUCACUCUAUCACUCUAUCGUAUGUUUUGUUUUUUACAGUAAAGAAGGCUGGUGUUCUUACUAUUAGUUUUUUUAUAUAUAUAUAAAUUAAAGAUCAUUAAUGGAAUCUGCUAUGGAAAGAAUAUUCAAAUAUUAGAGAAGUGCACAGGGACAAAAUAAUUGCUCACUCCCUGGAAUAAUCAAAUAUUAGUCUAUCUCGAACAUGAAUAGAGAAAGGAAGAAAAGAACACGUCAUGACUUUGAACAGAGAAAGUAAUAAUUGCCCAUUCGCCUUGAAAUUCUAGCUGUACAGCAUUUGGAAUUUCACGAGGCAAAAGAUUCUUAACAAUGAGUUAAAUCUCCCUUUUGAGGUGGUGACCUGACCUGUCGGAAUUGCUUUAUAGACAAGAAUGGAUUCAUGAGUCAUAUUCUACAAGAAACAAGCAAGUCAUUUGACUCACAUAAGAAAGAUGGAAAUAUAUUUCCCCUUUAAUAAAGAGCUAAAAGGGUACGCUAGAAAUUUAAAAUUUUUUAAAAGUACAGUCCAAACAUUGUAUAAUUACCCUCACAAACUUUCAAUAAUAGAUACCAUUUGUUACGCAUAAUUAUGGUAUUUCAAAUUACGCGUGCUUGCUGUGAUUUUCUUCCAUGCACAUAUCUCAAGUAAAUGAAAGCAGGCUUCUGGAACAUGAAGAACUGAGAGGUGCCCGUGCCCUUGCCUUUCAUACAGCGAAGCACCAAUCCAGGUCCGUUCAUGGCUUUUCAGCAAACAAGGAAACCAUUGGCGAUGCUUUUACAGAGUGCUCAAUCACUUUUCUAUUUUUUACAUUAGAAUUUAGAUGGAUACAGAGUGCUCAACCAUCGGGUUAUAAAUUUCAUUUUACUAACAAAACAAUGUUCCCGGGCAACACAUCUCCCCUCGAGUUAUAAAUUUCAUUUUACUUUUUUUUUCGUUACUGACAACGUAUAAAUUUCAAUUACUUAAUUUUUUACUGAAAUUUCAUUAUAACUUAAUAACAAAAUGUAGAUCAUAUAUACUAAGAUUCGCUCCAAUAGAAGCAAUGACCAUGAUGCAGUGACACAUGGAAAAGUUAUACAGUAAUGUAGGUCAUUCUCAGGCUUUUUUUUUAUUUUAUUUUUUUUGUAGUUUUUCUAAUAUACCCAUGACAGGGUAGACUUGUCCUAUAUAGACGAAUCAACUGUUAAAUGUUCCACAAAGAGUAUGGCAGGCCAAAAACACUCACUAUGUUUUGUUAUGUAGGCAUGCAGCUGCUCUUUCCAGGGCUUUCUCUUUGUUGUUUUUAACAAAAAAAGCAGAGAUAUUUACUCAAACCUUCUCAGGCAUUCAUAUCAAACGAACCCUAGCUACGUGUGAAGAAGAUUGAAAGAGAAUGAUCAGUAAGGAUACAUAGAGGAUUUAAAAGCUGUGAAAGCUUGCUCAUGUAGUCGCUGGAUGAAUUAAUCGAGGAGUUUACAAAUAGGCUGGAAUUGCAUCGACACUGAAAUUAACACCUUCAAUUCAAAAAUGAUUUUGACAUUUUGCAGAUAUGGUUCCUUAUCUACAGCUUAGUGAUAUUUAGAGAGAGUUUUCGGCAAAUGCAGCCCACAUUACUAUUCAAUCUCAUGAUGAUGCGUGGCAUCAGAUCGAAUUGUUGAGUUUUCGCGUUGAUAAUCUUCAAAUUUUCUGCAUUUGGACCUAACUGUGAGAUGAAUGGUUUUAUUCGUCAUGACUGUGCAAAAACUUAUUUAAAUCAUCGUUAUUUUCAAAUUAAAGAAAAAUAUUUAUGAUCACAUUUAGUUAAAAGUUACUCUUUAGAAUCAAAUUGAACUAGAUUUUUUAAUUCAUGUCAUCUCAACUAACUUUUAUCAAACGCUUAUAAGAUCAUAGAUCCUUAUGAAUAUAGUAUUUUUUGUAGUUGAAUAAUGGGUUUAAUCAAAUCUCCAUGCUAUUGAUUCAUUUUUCAUGACACAAAAAGGUGAUAGCUUGAUGUAAAAUUCUAACACUUGCAAAAUAGUUUUUUUUUAAUGGAUUUGAAUACCUUCAAAUGCUUAAUUAAGCAAGAGGAAAAUAUAUAAAUAUGCAAAAGAAUAUUAAAUUCUAAUAACAAAAUUAUUUUUUUGUUUUGAUAUGAAAAUAUGUAUUUUAUAAGAAAAUGAUGAGUGUAUGUUGAGAUUGAAAAUUAUAACCCUUAUAUGGAUAGUUUAAGGAGUAUCUAUACCCAAAAACAUUAUCAUUUUCCUUAAGUGAAGGGGUUUGAAUUAUUUCACCAUGAUAGCAUUAAAGAAGAACAAAAAUCUUUCAUAUAUAUAUAUAUAUUAUUAUAUAUUAAAGAGAAAUAUUUCUAACAUAAAUAUUUAAUAAAAUUUAAUACGUAAUAAAAACUCUUGUACACCGAAAAUAUAGAUUGAACAUGAUUCAACUAAAGAACUUGAAUAAAAUAAAAAUAUCAAGAAAUUUGAUACGGGUAGAAGCCACAAGACAAUGCUCAAAGGUAUUAAGCCUAGCAUGGGCCUAAAACCUUUUUUAAAAUGUUCUUCCUGAGUUGUCGUUAAAACAUGCUUGGAUUAACAUGUAAAAUGAUAAGAGAAUAAUAGAAUUUGCUGGAAUGAAAUUAUUAUUGAUUGCAUUGCAUAUUUAUAUAAGAGUAUCUACAUUUAUCUCUUCUACUAUGAAUCCAACACUUGGAAUUCAUUGUCCUAUAAAGAAUUAUUAUUACAGUAGGAAAUCAUGUAUAAAUUAUUCAUUCCUAAUAUAUCUCUAUCAGGAUUCCUAAUACUCCCCUUCAAGUCGAAGAGUGGAUGUCCUACACUCCCAACUUGUGAAUCAUGAAUGAAGACAUCUUUUACUAAGGGUUUGGUGAAGAUGUCUGCCAAUUGAUGGUCAAAAUGAACAUGUCUUGUUAUCAUAGAAUCAUCUUGAAUUUUUUCCUUGAUAGUGACAGUCCAUCUUAAAAUGUCAGGUGCACUCAUGAAACACUAGGUUGGCUACAAUGUGUAAUGCAACCUUGUUAUCAAUGUAGUAAAGCAAGUUCAUGAUGUAAAAGGCCUAAAUCCCUCAACAGACAUCGGAGCCAUGUCAACUCACAACAUGCUCCUGUCAUUGCACGAUACUUUGCCUCUGCAGAGGAGAGUAAGACUGUUUUUUGUCAUUUUGAUCUCCAGGAUAUCAAUAAGGGUCCAAGAAACACACAAUAACCCGUGGUAGACCUCUGAGUUAGUGGGCAACCUGCCCAAUCCGAGUCUGAAUAAGCUCUUAAUUUGUAAUCAGUGUGUGAAGGAAAGAAUAACCCUUGACCAGGAGCUCCUUUCAGAUAUCGGACAACCCGGAAAGCAGCUUCCAUAUGAAGCUUCCGGGGUUGGUGCAUGAAUUUGAGGAACUGCAAGUUCCUCAAUGGUGGAAGUUGUUCACGGUGGUCAACACAUUUCAUUGUAUAUAAUAAUAAUAAUAAUAAUAAAAUAAUAAUAAUGUACUCAAAAAUUUAGAAGUUAUAAAAUAAAGAUUUUUUUAUAUCUUAUAAGAUAAUAAUUCUUAUCAAACAAUUUCUUACCGUCAUAAUCAUUAUAUCAGCCACAAUAAAAACUAUCGGAGCCAGGUUGGCAUAACCUAGAGCAUUCUUGCGUAUUUUCUAAAAGAGAAAGAAAACAUUUUUUCAUGAUUUUUACUUUUUUAUUCUUAAAUAAACAAACAUUCAAAAUUAACUUAAACAUUAGGAUGCAACAACAACUCCAAUUCCAAAACAAAAAAUAACAAAAUAAUAUGAAAGCAAGUAACACUCAUAUUUAUACAUUCUAAAAAGAUAUACCCAUCGCUCUUGCGUGAGCUGCUCCAAGUGAUCUAGUCACCAUCAACCUCCAACAUCUCACUCAAGCAUUAGAAAACAUCUAGGCAUAAAACAAGCCCCAUGACUCACAUAAAAAAAAUAUUUCAGCUUCCAUUGCCCAGAAACCUCCCUCCCUCCCUCAGUUUUUAUGGUUUAAUUCUAUAAUAAACUUCAAGCUAUUAGGAUAAUAUUGAAUUUAUAUUUAAACUAUUUUAAUUAUAAUUAUUCCGAGUCAUCAGAUCAUAUGUUGCUACAACGUAAUUUUUCUAUAGACAAAAUUUAUUUUAUAAUGCCGGUGGGGUAUCUUUUGGAGUGUUCAUGUAGAAAUUUAAGCAGAGUAAUGAAGAGACAUGAGGCAGUGCAAUAGUGAAACAAAGUUAUUCAUUCAUACCUCUUUCUUAUGUUGUACAUGUAGAGUGGGAAAAACUUGCAGCAAGGAAAGACAAUCUUGCGUAUAUUUUCUCCCAUGAUUAUUGCUAAGAUUAUAUGUUAAUAAUAAAUACACAAUCAUAUCUAAACUAGAUAACAAGUAAGUUAUACUUGAUGAGUUGUUGCCAAUGGUUAGGUUUCAGAGAAAGACAUGGCAGCUCCUCCUUUACGGGUAUGCUAUAUAUAUACUUCAUCCAACCAACAAAAGAGAAGUAAUAUAUUUUUCUCUGCAGACAUCUACAGACAAAGUUCUUCUCUGCAGUCAAGCCAAUGUAUGGGAGACCUGUGACCCCUGACUUUUUUUUUUAAUUAAUAUGGUUCGAUUAAUUCUAUCCCAUAAACCUUGAAAUUAAUAACUAUAUAAGCUUUCAAUAAUCUUGAAAAGAUUUAAAUUCAUGAUCAUUAAAGAAUAAACUCAAAAUUUAACUUGUUGAGUUACCCCUCAAGAUUUCUAAUACCCUGACUCUUGUUUACACACAAUGCCGGCGGUGCUAGUUAGGGGUGAUCAUUUUCGAUUUGGUUCGGUUUGAUUUUUAUUAAAAAAAAAGUAACAAAACCAAUUUUUUUUUUAAAAAAACCAAAACUAGUUCAAACCGACCGGUUUUGGUUCGGUUUUUUAGGACAAAAAGCCGGUUUGGCUCGGUUUUCUUGGUUUUGGCUAGGUUUUUUCCGGUUUUGGCUCUGGUUUUUUGAUUUGGCUCGGUUUUUUUGGUUUGGGUCCGGUCCGGUUUGGUUUUUUGGUUUUAGACUUAUAAAACCGAAACCAAACCAACCGAUUUUUUUAAAAUUUUAAUAAGUUUUUUUCACGAUUCAAUUUUUUCAAUUAUUUUUUUUCUAGUUUUUUUAAUUUUUCGAUAUUUUUACUCACUCUAUCGUAUGUUUUGUUUUUUACAGUAAAGAAGACUGGUGUUCUUACUAUUAGUAUUAUAUAUAUUAUAUAUAUAUAUAUAUAUAAAUUAAAGAUCAUUAGUGGAAUCUGCUAUGGAAAGAAUAUUCCGUUAGCAAUUCUAAUUUUUUAGAUUUUUUUAAUUUCGACAACAAUUUUUAAUGCUAGCAAAAUAUUUCAUUGAUAUUUUUAUUGGUAUUAGAAAUCAUUAACGAGAUAAAAAAGUUUAAUGAGCAACUUUUUAAAGAUAAUAUUUCAUUAGUAAUUUCAUUGAUGUUUUCAUUGGUGUUAGAAAUCAUCAAUAAUUUCUAAUAAUAACAAAAUUCUCUCUAAAUACUGAUAUAAUAUUCUUUUAACAUUCCUUAAUUUUGUGCUAGUGUUUAACGUAAAUAACUUCCUUUUGUUUUUCAAUUAAACAAAUUAUCAUACUUUAAAUUGCAUACUGAUAUAUUUUUUUUCUUACUUUAAAAAUUAACUUAAAAACUUACAUGUAGUAUAACAAGAGUUAUUGCACCAAUGAGAACUAAAUACCAUUAUCUUGUAAAAAAAAAAAAAGUAGGUUGCAGUCGAGAAAUAAUUUAUUUCCAUUUUAAUUUUGUAUUUUUGACAAUGUUUUAGGUUUUUUUGGGCUAAUAAAUUAUUAUUUUUUUAAGUUUUAAGGAUGUUGAUUAAUUAUUUUUUUGAUGAAAAUAAUGAAAAUAAAUUUUUAGAUAAAAAGAACAUCCUCUCAAUUUUUAGUCACUUUUACUAGAAUUUAGAUGUGGAAGUUACACGUCAUUUGUUUCUUAAAAAAAUUAGAAAGAUGACAAAUUUGAAAAAAUAAUGAAAAAAGCCUUGAGAUGCAGUGGCAUAGGCUAGCAGACCCGCAUGCUUAGACUUAUUUUUAAAGGUUCCAUCUUGCUAAGCCACAGGACGUGUACCUUGCUUUUAUUAAAAAAAAAUUCCAAUAAUUUUGGUUGUGAUUUCUUAAAUUUUAAUUAAUCAAAUAUUUAUUAGUUAUAUUAUUUAUUAGAUUCUUAAAGUGAUUAAUUAUAUAUUUAGAUAUUAUUUUAGUUAAAGUGAUCAUUUUUUACCAUGUUUUAGAAUAAAAUUAUUUCUGAACGUGCGGUUGAGAUUUUCAAGCUCGGUCUCUAGGCCCCUAGCAAGUCCAAGCUCUUGAAGAAUUGGGGAAUUCAAGUUCGCCAUGAUUGUACUCGCGAGGCAGAAGUAAUUGCAUCAGCCACAGCUUGUUUCGAAUGGAAAAUAUUGGAUGUUGACAAGAAGAAGUAGAAAAUGUGCAAGGAUAACCAAAAGCAGGGAUGAGGAGACAGAGCAGUGUGGCAUGAGAAAUGGCAAAGGUGAAAGUGUCUGGUGAUGGUCUUUACUCUUGCUAUUGAUCAAUUCUUCAUUACAUUAAACACAUUAUACGUUUGCAAAAAACCCACCAAAGACCACACCUCCCAUCUAAACUGCCGUCCUUGACUAUUAUAUUGAUUAGGCUCCACACGGUCGAGACUUGACUAGCUGUGCUUCCACCAUUGGAGAUAAGGUUUACAGGAUCAUAAAGCCUUGCCGUUUUGGCACCUGAUGCCAACAUUAUUGGCCUACAGAAAGACAAGUGGACAUCAAAACUACUAAAGGCCAAUCACCGCCAUGCGAGUAAAGAUAUGUUUCGGUUUGAAUUUUUUUUUUUUUUUAGAUCAAGGGAAUAUAAUGAGUCAUGUAUACAAAUAAAAUUACCGAGAUAACUGAUUUCGUUUGUAAAUCCAUCAAUAAAUUCAUUAAUAAACUGUUAACUUUUUCCUAAUACUAUUUAUCAUGUCAAUUACAAAUGAAAUUAUUGACGAAAUAUUCUAUUAAUAUUUCUUAAAAAACUUUGCAACUGUUUACUUUUUAAUUGCACUAUUAAUUAUUAUUCUUUAUAGAUAAAAUCACUGACGGAUUGAAAAUUCAUCAGUGUUAUUUGGUGGGUUUCUGAAAUUUUUUGAUUAAAUUAAAUAUUACAGACGGAAUCACCGAUAGAUUGAAAAGUCGUAGGUGAUAUUUGGCUAUUUCUAAAAAUUUUAUAUUAAAUUGAAAAUUUAAAUUAACUAUUACAGAAGGAAUAAUUGACAGAAUGAUUAAAAAUAUUAAUAUUUAAUUAUUCAUCGGUAAAACGCCCAAUAAAAAGACUAGAAUCCCUUAUUUCACAAUAGACGUGCCUCUUUUUUCUUCUUCUUUUUUUUUUUUUUUUUUUUUUAAAUCAACAUCUCUUUCUUUCUCUUCUCUCCUCAACUCCUUAUUUAUUUAUUUAAACAAUGCUAACUGGGUUGAGUCCACUGUUCCGGUUGGACCGGGUCCGAUUAAAAGCUAAAAAUGCAUUGAACUGGGUCCAAUCCAGUAAAAUAAAAAUAUUAUUUUUUAUUUUUAAUUGUGUUUUAUUUUAAAAAAUAGUGUUUAACGUUAUUCAAUGACACUACAUAAAUUAUACGGGGAUUGCUUAAUGACGUAGUAUUUACAUAACUUGAUCGUAAUCCCCAUUUUAUUCCUGAUGUUGUUGCGCGCUUAAGAAACUAAGAAAACUGUAGUCCUUGUCGGAUGUAUUUCAUACGCGAUGAAAUUGUAGAUAGUUUAAUGAAACAAUAAAAAAUAUUUUAUAUAAAGUAUUUUUUUAUUUUAUGAUGUAAUAGCAGUAGUUAAAUCUGUAAUAUUUAAAUUAAAAACCAUCAAUAUUAAUAUAUAUUUUUUGAAAUUAUUUUAUAACCUCAAUUUGAAAAGUAUUCUUAACCAAAUACAUUAAACUAUUUUUUAGUUCAACUUUAAUUUUAACCAAACAUAUAUAAAUAUCAAACCAAUCUCAACUAAAAAUACUUUUUAUAAAAUAAUUUUUUUCAAAUCACAACCAUAAAAGCUAUCACAAUACCAAACACACUCCGGGUGCGUUUAUUUUCUAGAAAGUGGUUUUCCAGAAACCACUUUUCAAACUUUAUUGUAUUUGUUUGCCAUUAUGAAAGUUGGUCAACGAAAAACACUUUCCAGUCAAAGAAAAAUUUGGCUUGGUUUCUAGGAAAGUGUUUUCCUUUUAUUUUGGGCGGAAAACACUUUCCAGAAGUUGUGAAAAAUUUAGAAAUGUCAUAUUAUUUACUAAUUAUAUUAAAUUUGGUUCUCAAACUUUUGAUUGUUACAUAUAUUUUGUUUUGAAUAUUUGUUUUUCAAUUUCAUCCCUUAGAAUUGAAUUUUUAUAUAAACUUUGGUUCUUAUUUUUAUUUUGCUUUUCCCUUAUCAUUUUUUAAUUGGAAUUUUUUAUCUAUCAAAUCUGGUCCUCAUUUUUUAUUGUUAUUUUUUUAUUUGAAAUAAUUUAUGAAAUGUUAAUUAUUAUUAUUUUAAUUCUUCAUCUUUUAAUUUUUUUAUUUUUUAGAUUUGAUCUCUAUUAUUUUGAUUAUUAUUUAUUUUAUUUGAGAUAAUUUAUGAAAUUAUAUAUUUUUUUCAAUUUAUUCUCAUUCAACUUUUUAAUUUGUAAGAUUUGUUGUUCAUUAUUUUAAUAAACUUGAAAAAAUAAAAUAUUAAUAAGUUAUUUUCCAGCUUAUUUUCCACGACAUAACCAAAUACUAGAAUGUAUUUUCUAACUUAUUUUUCAUUACAUUACCAAACAUUAAAAAAUAAUUUAUUUUUUAGAAUUUAAUUCCUAAAAAAAAUUACUUUUCAAUAAAUAAACAGGGAUUUAACUAACACCUCCCGAGUCCUAACGGAUAUUAUGGACCCGCAGGGUACAUAUUGCCCCUCAUGAUCUUGCUUUCUUCUUCUAGGGCCCGCAUGUUGAUAUUGACCAUCUUGGGCACUUCCGUUCUCCAUUGCCAGAGACGUUCGAGGCAGUGAAGCUCCCCAUCCCGCAUUAACGGUGGUUCGCAUUGCGUUUUGAAAAUAUUUUAAAAAGAAAUUGAUUUUCUUUUAGAUCAAGGGAAUAUAAUGGGUCAUGUAUACAAACAAAAUUACCGACAUAACUGAUUCGUUUGUAAAAUCCAUCAAUACAUUUAUUAGUAAACUGUUAACUUUUUUCUAACAUUGUUUAUCCUGUUAAUUAUAAAGGAAAUUAUUGACGGAAUAUUUUAUCGGUAUUUUUUAAAGAACUUUGCAACUGUUUACUUUUCAAUUGUACUAUUAAUUAUUAUUUUUUAUAGAUGAAAUCAUUGACGGAUUGAAAAUCCAUCAGUGUUAUUUGACGAGUUUCUGAAAUUUUUUGAUUAAAUUAAAUAUUACAGUCACAGAUGGAAUCACCGACAGAUUGAAAAGUCAUAGGUGAUAUUUGACGGUUUCUGAAAAUUUUGUAUUAAAUUAAAAAUUUAAAUUAACUAUUACAGACGGAAUAAUUAACUGAAUAAUUAAAAAUAUUAAUAUUUAAUUAUUCAUCCGUAAAAUGCCUAAUAAAAAAACUAGAAUUCAUUAUUUCACAAUAGACUUGCCCUUUUUUUCUUCUUCUUUUUUUUUUAAAAAAAAACCAUCAACAUCUCUUUUUUUCUCUUCUCUCCUCAACUCCUUAUUUAUUUAUUUAUUUAAACGCAGCUUUUGAUUUUUGCUUUAAUGCUACAUUUGUUUAUGAGAUUAGUCUGCGUUUGAAGCAAAACGCAGGAGCAACAUGUUUGGUAAUGAAAAAACAUCAUUUACUGUUCAUGGACCCCAUUGUUAUUGGCCUUUGCAACGGAGGAUGAGACAAAGUAGCUCUUCGCUGCUUCUGUAGAGAGUGAACAGUGGAGGGUGACUCCACUAUUCCGGCUGGACUGGGUCCGGUUUAAAGUAUGCAUUAAACCAAGUUCGAUCCAGCAAAAUAAAAAAAUUAUUUUUUAUUUUUUAUUGUGUUUUAUUCAAUGUUUAAUAUUAUUCAAUGACAUUACAUAAACUAUAUGGGGAUUGCUUAAUGACGUAGUAUUUGUAGAAUUUAAUUUUAAUCCCACUUAAACUUAUUCUACUGUACACAUAACCCGAUGCUGCGGAUUAUGUUUUUUAUAAAAAAUAUUAAAAAUUUUAGCUGCAAAGCUAUACUAAAAAAUAUUGAGUUUGGCUCCAACACCUAAUCUAAGAGUAAUAUUUAUAAUGUUAAUAAUAAAAUUAAACUUGCAUGACUUAAGUUUAAGUGAGUCUGGCUAAAAGACCAGACCCAAGAAUAUUGGAUGUGAGUCUGGCUAUAAGAUCGUGUUAUAAAAAUAUGAUAAUUAAAUAGAUUAAUUAAAAAAAUAAAAAAAAAUCAACAGAAAGGAAAAAACUAAUAAAGAAAAAGAAAAAAAUUGAAUUAAUUAGGUUAACCCUUUAAACUAGGUUAUCCCGUAAAACCUGAGAUUCACGUCAUGAAAGUUUGAUAAUUAAAUAGAAAAAAAAAAGACUGGUUUACCCAGAAUUAACUGGGUUAACCCAUCAAACCAAGUUAACCCGUCAAGCCUAGGAUACGUGUUAUGAAAGUAUGAAAGUCUGAUAAUUAAAUAAAAAAAAAAUUGACUUUAACAAACUAAACUAAAUGAAAAAAAUAACUCAUCAAAUCAAGUUAACCUAUCAAACCCGAGAUCCGUAUUAUGAAAAUCUGGUAACUAAAUAAAAAAUUAACAUUAACAAACUAAAUCAAACAAAAAUUCAUUAAAAAAAUUAAAAAGAAAAAAAUAGUUAUUAAUAUAAUGUAAUAUAAUAAUAAUAAUAAUAAUAUAUAAUAAUAAGUAAGUAUAUUAGUAAAAGGCAUGACAUGCCCACACGAUGCCGCGGGCUUGUGGCAUGCUUGUACAUUAUCGUGGAUUUGUGAAAAAAAUCAUAUAAAAAAAUAUAGUUAUCAUCCACAAUAUUUUAAAGAAAAAAACUACAAAGCUAUAUUCUCAACCAGUUCAAUAUUAAAAAAACAAAAUCGACAAAAACAAUUAUAAAAAAACACACAAAAAUGAAAACAAGAAGAUGACAAUUUUGGAAGAAAAAAAAAAAAACAAUAAUAAAAAAAAAGGAAAAAAAAACAUGUGGGGAAAGUUAAAGCUAAAUUUUCAAUCAUCUCAAUAUUAAAAUCAUUUAAAAAACAUUGUAACGAUCUAAAGUGUUUUGUGUAAAAAUAUAUAACUAUAAUUGUUAACCAGCUCAAUAUUAAAAAAAUCAAUAAAGAUAAUUUUAAUAGAAAAUAAUUGGAUGUUGACAAGAAGAAGUAGAAAAUGUGGCAAGAAUAACCAAAAGCAGGGAUGAGGAGACAGCAGUGUUGGAUGAGAAAUGGCAAAGGUGAAAGUCUGGUGAUGGUCUUUACUGUUGCUAUUGAUCAAUUCUUCAUUACAUUAAAUGAAGGACGAAUUUUUUGCUUUUAGAAGGUGUGAUGUGUGCUUUAAACAAAAAACCCACCAUACCUCACAUAUUAAAGCGUGUUUAGUAGUAUGAUAAUAGUUACUUUUUAAAUAAUUUUUUAUGUUGAAAUGUAUAUCAAUGAUGUUUUUUUAUUUUUGUUAAAAAUCAUUUUUAAUAUCAGCAUAUUAAAACGAUCCAAAAAAUAUAAACUGUAUUAAAUUUUAAUAAAAAAAAUAAAAAAAACUUUUGAAUUUUUUAAAAACAUAGGUUGAACCGCGUUUCUAAACACUGCCUACGCUCGACUAUUAUAUUGAUUAGGCUCCACACGGUCGAGACUUGACUAGCUGUGCUUACAAUAAAGCAAUUCAAUUUUCAAAGAAGGAACAUGGCUGUGAUUUGAAGACAAGAUUUGUCUGCCGGUGUGAACCCAAACUUUUGUUCAAAAUGUGAGCCAAAAUCCAAUCUAAAUUAAUCUAGUAUAUCAAAAAGUUGUAUUUUUUUUUGUGGUUGUUAUAAUUCUCUCUCAUCAAUUAAAAAUUUUUAAUCUUUAAUAUUGAAUUUUUAGGUUUAAAAAAGGUAAAAAUAACAAGUAAUCAAUUCUUUUUCAUGUUAAUUAUGGUUUGUUUAUGAAAACAUUAAAAAAAAUAAGAUUUAUAAAGAUUUGAAGUUUAUGUUUUUAAAAUAAAUUCAUGAUUAUUAUAAAUUUGAGUUCAAGUGAUUAAUUUUAGAUGUGUUGUUAGAAAUAAGAAUUUGUGAAUUGAUUUGUUUAAUUAAUUUAUUAAGGGUUAAGAAAUUCGCUUCAACUUUGUUAGAAAAUUGGACAAAAUAAUUUUGAGGUUGAAGAUAAAGAAAUUGUAUUUUGGUCCUUGAUUUAUGAAAAUUACAGUGUAAUUCCUAAACAUUGAAAAAUUAUAAUUUGACCUCUAACUGUAUUUUGGGAUUCUGAGUGGUAUUAUUAUGAGGUUAAGGAUAAUGACUCUCAGUUUAAUAAUUGAUUUGGGAUCUUUUCAAUUUGGGCCUUUAAUUUUGAAAGUUUACAUUUUAGUCCCUGAUCUUUAAAGAAAUGAUAGUUCGGUCCUUGGUUCAUUUCUAGAUAGAAUUGAAAAUGGUUUGUUGGUAAAAUUUCAGUAUGGUUAUGUAUUUACAAUUUGCUCCUCCAAUUUUGGCAAAAUUUUGUUUUGGUUCGUGAUUUCUAAAAAAUAUCGUUUUAGUCCUUAAACUCAUAAGAAUAAACCUGUUUUAUUUUAUGCAUUGAAAUAUUUUAUUUGUUGUUUUGGGUUGUUUUUUAGUAUAUUCUAUAUAUUUUUUUAUAAGCUCCUAACAAUCAUCAAUAAAAUUGCCAUAGCUUGUUUUCGAAUGGAGAAUAAUUGGAUGCUGACAAGAAGUAGAAUAGGUGCAAGGAUAACCAAAAGCAGGGGUGUAAGCAAGAAAUGGCAUGUGUUGAGAAGACAGAGCAGUGUGAGAUGAGAAAUGGCAAAGGUAAAAGUGUUUGGUGAUGAGCUUUUCUUCUGCUAUCGAUCAAUUCUUCAUUACAUUAGUGAUUAAUAAUGUGGUGGUUCAAUUUUAUUAAGAUAUUAAAACUGCUGUCCCUGACUAUAUUGAAUAGGCUCCACACAGUUCAGACUACAUUUCAGACUUGACUAGCUAUGCUUACAAUAAAGCAAUUGAAGUUUCAAAGAAGGAACAUGGCUGUGAUUUGAAGACCGAAUUUGUCUACUUGAAUUGCCUUGUUUGUUAGCAAACGUCUUCUUCUCUAAGCUCAGUUUUUUUUUAUCAGUGUCCAGUGGCCUUCGGUGACCCCAUAACCAUGCAGCCAAGCUGCGCACUGGCCAGACCCUCGGAAGUCGGAAACACCAAUAUCUUCCAGCGCUAGUGAAUGCAAGUUGCCCAAGAUUGUAAAUGCAAGCGCAGAAACAAGUGCACCAGCCAUGUUCUCUUCUGAAGUGAAAAUGGGAACUGACACGGGUAAGAUAAAUGUUUUCCGACUAAGGUUAUUUUUCUUUUCUUUUAUGACAAGGAGAUAAGAUGAAGAAUGAUUCAAUGUCGCAAAAUCGACAAGAUCAAAAGGGUUCUAAAAUUAGAAGUGUAAGAUCAAAUGUAGGAAUUAGUUUACUUCGAAGGCACAACAGUCUUUGGAACAAAAAAAAAAAAAAAACUUGAUUACCCCAGAGACAGGACAACCAAGAACACACCAGUACGGCAUCCAUGGAGCUAUUUAACAUCUUUCUGUAUGCAGCAAGGUGGUCAUGGCCAUACCUGGUUUUGUUUCGAAGUUUUGAACCUCCAGAACCAUAUUUAUUUGAACAUUUAUGUUUACUCAAAUGGAAAAUCUAGACAGCAAACUUUAAUUUACAAUGCACUAGUGAACAGCCCUUCAUAAUCUGGAAAACAAUGUAAAUGCUAUUAUUAAUUGUUUCACCUUACUAACAAUUGACAGUUGCAAUUGAAAAUUUAACAGAAUGCUUAGGAACCUGAUGUUCUAUUUUUAGGGACUCCAAGAUCGAAGAACAGUGCACAGUGAACAUUUCUUUCCCGGAUUUAAUUCAAACCAAUGUGUUGCCAUCCAAUUAAUCUGGUAAUUAAAGAAGAAAGAAGGGUUCUUGAAUAACAAGAACAACAACAGAAGAAAAGAAACAGAGAGAAAGAGAAACUUUUAGUAACAUUCAACACUUAGUAUUUUUUUUUAAAAAACAAAAUUAACAUUCAACUCAAACCAUUAACGUUGGUUUUUUUUUUUUUUUUCCCUGAAUCACAGAAUAUCUUGUCCCAGCUUUCACGUACUAAACCAAGUCUUUACAGCCUGGAACCGAUCUUUACACAGUGUUAAGCCCCACAGCUCGCGGCCCUAUAAGAUUUGAUGCUAGAAAAAUUCAAACUGAAGAUCUGAAGAGAGUAAACCUCCAAGCCCACCAUUAAGUUCCACUAGACUAACCCCUCGAAGUUACCAUUUACAUUGUCUGCUUGCUAUUCAUACAUCAUUCAUGGUCAACUCAAUAUUUCACUAAUUUUCAUUUUAAAAAUAUUGGGAGAUAUGUCAAAUUCAUAUUGAUUAUAAUUUUAGAAAAAAAAAAAAAAAAAAAAGCAGUUAGAAUGAAUUGAUUGAAAAAGCAUCACUUAUUAGUUUCAUAGAUUGUAUUGCAGAAGAUAUUAAAUAAAAACAAAACACAAUACGCCUUCGACACCGAACUGCAAAUUACCUGGGAAUCUGAGCGAACGAAUCUGACGCCCUUGCCAGGAUAUGUCUUCGCCCCACUGAACCGGCAAAGUUCAGUCCUGAAAUCAUCCAGACCAGACAAGUUUAAUGCUCGUCAUGAUAACAUAUUGAAAACCUCAGAUGAGAUCAUUUGCAUAUAAAAAUGCUUCAUUCCAAGCCAUAUAAGUUUGAUGGUUAACAAUGGUGUCUCGAUGAGGUUAUUCGCACGGUCAUGACGAAUAUUCUCAGAGGUACAUCAGAUCCUAAAACCCCUUGGCAGACGCCCAAAAACCCUUUCAAGUGUCACAUAAUUUAUUUUUCUAGAAUUUAAUUUCUAAAAAAAAUUACUUUUCAAUAAAUAAAGAGGGAUUUAACUAACACCUCCCGAGUCCUAACGGAUAUUAUGGACCCGUAGGGUACAUAUUGCCCCUCAUGAUCUUGCUUUCUUCUUUUAGGGCCCGCAUGUUGAUAUUCACCAUCUUGGGCACUUCCGUUCUCCAUUGCCAGAGACGUUCGAGGCAGUGAAGCUCCCCAUCCCGCAUUAACGGUGGUUCUUCCCAUGAUGUUCUUCUAACUUUUUCCAGGUCCUGAGAAAAUAAGCUUGCAAAAAGUGAAGGUUAUAAAAUUGUCAUUCAGUAUCUUCCAGUUGAUGAAUAAUACUUACAUCUCGUCUCGUAAUUAGACGUAAUGUAUAUAACGUGGCAUUAGUUAAUUGGAAUUAAAAUAGAUUGUUUUAAAAAAAUCACUAGCAGAAUGACAUAUAAUAUUUUUAUUAGUUAUAUAAUAAGAUUUCUGAAAAAAAUACUGACAAAAUAAAACAUGUAAUUUUUUUUUGCAUGCUUUUCUGUCAAUAAAUUCAUCGAUAAUAAUAUUUUUUUAUUACAAACAAAUAAAAAUUUUUGAUUAAAGAUUCACUGAUAAGGUAUUUUUAUCUAUAAUUUUGUCAAUAAAUUAAUUACUAAUAAAAUAAUAACACAAAUACUAAUAAAAAAAAAUUCAUUAAUAAAUAUAAAAAUUUUAAUAGUGGAUAGGGGCCUGGUAGAGCUCAUGUCUUGACAAAGUCUAAAAAUGACAAGUGACAAGUUGACAACUUGUCAAAUUCAUAUACAUCUUGGUUGAGUAGCCAAAAAAAAACCAAUAAAUGCUGAUGUAUCAGUUUUAGUAAAAAAAAAACUUAUAACGUAGCUCGCGCUACAUUGCAGGUCAAUUUUUUUAUAUAAAAAAUAUUUAAAAAAGUUAAAAUUUUAAAGUGUUAGGUUUUUUUACAAAGUUAUACUUAAGAGCAUUGGGUCUAUCUAUUACUCCUAAUCCAAAAGUUAUAUUAAUAAUAAUAUUAAACUUGCAUGAUCCAAGUUUAAGUGAGUUUGGUUGCAACAUCAAACCUGAAGCCUUUGAUAUGAGUCUGGUUGCAAGAUUUUAUUAUAAAAAUGUGAUAAUUAAAAAGAAUAAAAAAUUAAUAUCACAGAAUAAAUAAAAAAUUAAUUGGAAAGAAAAAAAACAAUAAAGCAAAGCAUUAUUUCGAUGAAUAGUGCCUUGCAAGGAGGGGUACAGUAAAAUCCCCUCAUGAGAUCACAAUAAUUUAAUGACAAACAAAACAAAUUAUAAAUUUUAAUUCUUAAUCAAAUCGAUAUUAAAAAAAUGAAAUUGAAAGAAAAAAACUACUUAAGAAAAGGAAAAAGAAAAAUCUUAAUUAAUUGGUUUAACCCGUCAAACCUGAGAUUCGUGUCAUAAAAUUGAAAGAAAAAAGAAUGAUGUCUUUUAGUUAUAGUUAAUUACAAUAUUUAAAGAUGAAAUCGGAAGAAAAAACUAAUAAAGUAAAAGAAAAAAAAAUAUGAAUCAACUGGAUUGGCCCACCAAAUCAGGUUAACCCAUCAGACCUGAGAUCGUGUCAUGAGAGUGUGAUAACUAAAUAAAAAAAAAUUAACAUUAAUAAAAUAAAAUGAACAAAAAAAAGAUUAAUUAAAAAGAAAAAAAAGGAAAAAAAAAACCUACAUGAAGAAAAAGAAAAAAAAUCUGAAUUAACUGGGUUAACCCGUCAAACGAGGUUAAUCCGUCAAACCUGGGAUUCGUGUUAUGAAAGUUUGAUAACUAAAUAGAAAAAAACUUAAUAUUAACAAAAUAAAUUUUAAAAAAUAUAAUUAAAAAAAAAAGCAAAAAUACUAAACAAAAAAAAUAUUAAUUUAAAAAAAAAACAAAGAAAGAAAAGUCUGCAUGAAGAAAAAAACUAAUGAAGAAAAAGAAAAAAAAAUCCUAAUUAACUGGGUUAACCCUUCAAACCAAGUUAACUCGUCAAAUCUGGGAUUCGUGCCAUGAAUGUUUGAUAACUGAAUAGAAAAAAAAAAAUUUACGUUUUAACCUAGAAUUAGCUAGGUUAAUUCAUCAAACCCAGAAUCCGUGUCAUGAAAGUUUGAUAGCCAAAUAGAGAAAAUUUAACAUUAACAAACUAAAUUAAAUGAAAAAAUAAUUAAAAAGAAAAAUCAGAAAAAAUUCAGGUUAACGCGUCAAACCCAGGACCCAUGUAAUGAAAUUUUGAUAACUAAAUAAAAAAAAUUUAACAUUAAUAAAAAAAAUUAAACAAAAAAAAUAUUCAUUAAAAAAAACAAAAAAAACAAAACAACUUAAAAAAAACAAAGCAAAAGGCAAAAAAAAAAAACAGCUUAAAAAAGCAAAGCAAGCAAAAAAUAAAAGACAGAUAAGCGUUUCACUGUGGAUUGCAUUCGAAAAAAUUAAUUAAAAAGAAAAAUCAGGAAAAAAAAACCAGAUUAACCCAUCAAAUCCAAAACCUAUAUCAUAAAAAAUUGAUAAUUAAAUAGAAAAAAAAUUAACAUUAACAGAAAAACUCAUUCAUUAAAAAAAACAGCUUAAAAAAACAAAGAAAAGGAAAAAAAUAGUAAAAAAAACAAAGUAAAAACCAAAAAAAUUAAUAAAAAAAAGAAGAAGACAGAUGAGCUUUUUAUGUGGAUUGCUACAGUAAAAAACCGAUCCUUUUAGUAUAUUUCUAAUACCAGCAUUUAGAACCCUAUCGGACAUUCAAUUAAGUUUUAUUUGCGAAAUUGAACAAGCUUUUAAAAGCUAAUUUAAACACAUAAACGCAACAUUAAGGAAAAAAUUAUCAUUUAAUAAUGAUAAAACAUCACAAACAUAACGCAAGAAGUCAAAUGACUUCCUCGAAGCAAAUUUAUCAAACUUGGCCUGGGUUGACAGGUCGACCUGCGACCUGUUUACCCGGGCUUUCAAACUGGAUUGGAAAUUAAUUUUGUUAAACAAAGGUGAUAUGUUCUAUCAAUUAAUUUUUUUAAAUAAAAAACAACUUCGUUUAUUUAUGUUUAUUUAAUUAUUUAUACCUUUUAUAUCUAAACGAGCCUGGACUUAGAUCGAAUCAGAUGACGAGCCUGGUCUGAUAACUUAGCCUUGAAGUUUAUUCUGUUAGAUCAUUAUUGUUUGCUGUGUUAGGCAACAGAUAUCCCUCUAUUCAUACUCAGCUUAAUUUUUCAAUUUCGACUUUUAAAAAUAUGGAGAGAUAUAUGUCAAAUUCCUAUCGGUUCUGAUUUUAAGGAAAAAUAAAAAUUUAUUAAGAAUUAAAAAAAUGCUAUUUUUUAUAUAAUUUGAAAAAAAUAUUUUAAACUUUAUUUUAUAAAGCUAAAAAAUUACUAAAAAAUAUAUUUAAUUUAUAUUCAUGUAUACAAUACUUGUUAAUUUAUUUAAUACUUGUUAAUUUAUUUUUUAACUUUAUUUAAAGCCAACAAUGAUUAAAAAAUAUAUUUAAUUUUUAUAACACUUUUUUAUGUAUUCAUCAAAAUUUUCAUGAAAAAUUAAAUUGAAAAAUCAUGGCUAUGAAAAAACAAAAAUACUCAUUUACUCCCUCAAAUAUGUUUCAUCAGUAAAUCCAUAAUUUUUCUUCGCUGAAUAUCAUUAGAUUUUCAUAAAAAUAUAUUAUUAUAAAAGUGAACAUCUUAGUGAUUUUUUAAAAUUUUAUUAUUAUUUUUAGAGUUCUUAAUAAAAUUUUCUUUAAAUUAGAACCAAUAGAAAUCUAACUCGUGUUCUUCCAUAUCUUUAAAAGACAAAAUUAAUGAAAUAUUACGUUUACUCUGAACAGAGAGAUCUAUACUGCCUAGUAGACAAAAUCAUAGAAACCCAAUUAUAUAAAUUUAAACCAUAAGGAUAUCUUUAUCAAAUAUCAAUAUAUCAGAGAGAUUCAUAGUACCAUCAAACCAAAGUUAUACCUAAACUUGUCAUGCAAUAAAACACGUGCAUAUUCAUACAAUAAAAAUAAUAAAUAGACGUAUUUCUCCCUUUCUAUUACAAAGAUCAUUGCAAUACUUAGUAGAUGCAAACGGAAGGGAUGUGAGCUAUCUUAGGCCAGUCCUCUCCUCGCUCCUUCGAGCACCUUUUCUUCAAAUUUGGACAAUGGUUAAUCAUCAAGUGGCUGAGGUUGCUGAGACUCUGUAGCCCUUCUGGCAAACAUACCAAAUUAGGGCAAUCCUGAAUUUCCAGGCGUGAAAGGGAUAUGAGAUAACCAAUCUGAUUUGGCAAGGAAGUUAAUCCCUUGCAUUCAUAGAGUCUUAGAGAUCGGAGAGAAGUAAGAUGUUGGAUACUCUUUGGCAAUGAAUUCAGCUCUGGACAAAGUUCAAGCUCCAAGAUUUCAAGUGCCGUCAGAUAUUGCACUCCCUCGGACAGAGACACAAAUUUAUCACAAUUUCUAACAGAUAACCUACGAAGAGAAGAUAAGCCGGACAACCCAUUCAUUGGCAGAGUGUAUAAUCUUGUACAACUAUUUAUCUGUAAAACCUCCAAAGAAGUGAGUUUUCGAAGACCUUCCUCUGGCAAGCUUUCAAGUUCAUAACAAUGCUGGAUACUCAAGCUUUUAAGAGCUGAAAGGUUGUCAAAUACCUUAUUUGACAAAGACGAUAGAUUUCUCAUCCCAACCAUACAUAAGGACUCGAGGAGUGUAUGAUUUUGCAAGAACCCAUCUGGAAUCAGCCUCGCAUCAAUCCUUGCAAUAAAAAGGUAUGUGAUAGAAGUAAAUUUCAUAACUGACAUCAGUAACGAAACAUUGCCUUCAGUGAUGUGUAAGCUUUUGACGGAAGGUAUAAUUGGUAUUUCGGUCAACAAGGGGCAAAGAACUACAGAUAAUGCUUUAAGACGAGGAAAACUACACGGAGCCCAUUGCUCUAGUCUCUCCAUUGAAAUAAAUGUCAGGCUCUCCAAAGAUGGGAAUGGAUUUUGCUCAUCUCCAUACACAUGGCUGUCAAUACACUUCACACCAUCCAUUCCAUCUAGUUCAAGAUUCUUGAGGAACUGUAAUUUCCCAAAUGGUGGAAGUUGUUCACAGUUGCCACAUGCUGUUAGCUUCAUCUCUACUAGAUUCGGUAGCAUCAAGUUCAAGUUCAUCAUCCACUUUGGAAAUUUUGAACCCCCAUAUCCAAUUAAUCUCAAUUUCUUCAGAUUUGAAUGAGGUUGAAGCCCAUCAAGGACAUCCUCAUUACUUUCAGCUGAUUGCACACAAGUAAAAGGGCGGCGACCUCCAUUCUCAUUCCAAGAUAAAUUCAGUGAUAGAAGAGUUGUCUUCAACUUCAAAUUGGCACUUCUGGCAUCUGUUAAAUUCUUAACAUUAACAAGAUCUGUGAUGCUUAGUUCACCAGCAAGAUUAUUCAGCCUUUCUAGCUCCCCUAAGUGACGACCAUCCUCCUUACCCACAAUGAACAGGCCAAGUUUUCGCAGGCAUAUUAAUUGUCCCAUUCCAAAUGGCAUAAAUCGAAGUGAAUCACAGCCCGUGAUGUCAAGAUAGAUGAGACUUUUCAUAUGCUUCAUACCUCUAGGUAAUUGGAUGAGCCGUGUACAAUGACUCAGAUUUAGUGUCUGUAGAUUUUGGAGCGAGGUGAUUGAUGCAGGCAAUUUUUUAAUGUGGGAAUUGGAGACAUCUAGAAACCUUAGAUGUUUCAAAUAACAAAUUGACUUUGGCAAUGUAUUGAGAUAGGUACCUAUAUGCAAGGCUCUCAGAUGCUUUUGUUGGGUGAAAUAAAGAUGCAAAUCAACACUCACAAGGCGUGUGUGAUGAUAAAAUCCAGAAAGCAAAAUUGAGCGUAGAGACCUAGAUUUGAAAUCCUUGUCUUCUGGAACAAACUGUGAUGAGUAUGCACCCACAUGACGAAUUGUUUUAGGAAUUUGCAACUUUGUAUUGCCCUCAAUCAAACAACAUUCUCUCUUCAUAAUGUACUGUGCAAGAUCAUGGAUAAGAUCAUGCAUUUUACAUGUCAUGUAGCCCAGCGAAUAUACCUUAACUUCUUGAAAAAAAGACCUCCCAACUAAUUCGUGGAAAAUCUCUUCACCCUUAUCGUGCAAAUCCAUUUGCCCAGUGCUCGAAAUGAAGCCAUUUGCCAUCCAUAGAGCUACCAACCGCUCCUUCCGAAUGACAUAAUCUUUGGGGAAUAUAGAGCAAAAUGCAAAGCAUUGCUUCACAGCUGGCUUUAGAUUCAUAUAACUCAAACUCAAGGCAGGUAAUAAUAUCUGGCUUCCUUCAUUUGGCAGAUCCCAAAUCUCACUUUCUUUGACAGACAGCCACUCCCUUUCACUUUUCUUCGAGCGCAUCAGGCUUCCGACUGCUCUUAUAGCCAACGGAACUCCGCUACACUUCUUAACUAUCGCUGCUCCAAUGUUUUCCAAGUGACCAUACUCCUCUCUCCUUCUCAUACCAAAUGCAAGCUGCUUAAAUAAAAGCCAGGAAUCCUCAUCCGACAAUGUUUCCAUAUGUUGAACAGGAUUUGUGGCCAUUUUUUCAGCCAUAGUUCCCAAACGAGUAGUCACAAUAACUGCACUUCCUUUAGCUCCACAACUCAAUGCAUCUUUCAACUUGCUCCAGUUAUCAUGGUCAUCAUCCCAAACAUCAUCCAAUAUGAGCAAAAACUUCUUACCACCUAAAUUUUCUUGGAGGCAUCGUAGAAGAGCAUCCAACUGUUGAAUAUUUGGAGUAGUGCGUUGAAUGGACUCGAUGAUGGCUGCUGUCAAUCUUUUUAUGUUGAAAUCAACUGAUACGCACACCCAAAUCCGCAAAUCAAAAUGCCCUUCUAUUCUUCCGUCGUUGUAGACUAAUUGAGCAAGUGUUGUUUUACCCAAGCCCCCCAUUCCACAUAUAGCAUAAAUAGAGAAAUCAUCUGAACUGGUGAGCAGCAUGUUGACCAGAUCUUCUUUCUCCUUGCCCCUUCCAUAAAUUUCUGAUUCAUUCACCCAUGACCAAGUCUGACGCCAAUCAAAACUAUCUGCUUCUAUCUCCAAAGCCCCUUCAAUUAAAUGGAAAUCGUGUCUCCCCUUGGCAAUGCGAUCUAGUGUUUCUGUAACAUUCUUCAAUUUACGAGCCAUCCUUUGUCGAAAAACAAGAGGAUUAUGAUUGAUAGAAAAGAAGCAUGUUAGCCAAUUUUUGAGAUCUCUUCGCUGCUGAUGCCACUGAGCUUCAAAAGCAAACUCAUCCAGUACAUCAUCAACAACAUAAGCUGCAUCCUUGAGGUCGCUGAGCCACACCUUGAUAGGCUUACUCUUCCACUGCUUCUCCUCUGCAUCUUGCAGCACAGCUUGAAUGGUUCUGAACGUGCGCUUGAGAUUUUCAAGCUCGGUCGUUAGGCCCCUAGCAAGUCCAAGCUCUUGAAGAACUAGGGAAUUCAAGUUCCCCAUUAUUGUACUCGCGAGAGCAGAAAGAAUUGCAUCACCCAUGGCUUGUUUUGGAAUGGAAAAGAAGAAGUAGAAAAGGUGCAAGGAAAACUAAAAGCAGGGGAGGUGAGCAAGAAAUGGCAAGUAAAAAUUGAGAAGACAGAGCAGUAUGAGAUGAAAAAUGGAAAAGGCUAACAGCAGUCUCUGAUUAUAUUGAUUAGGCUCCACACGGUGCAGGCUUGACUUGGCUAUGCCUAUAAUAGUAUAAUAAAGCAAUUGAAGUUUCAGAGAAGGAACAUAGCUGUGAUUUCAAGCAACAUUUGUCAAUUAUCGCAUGCCUUUUCCUGCUUUAAACAGAAACGUGAUUAACGCUUUUGGCUGUGAAUUCUCAAGGGUAUUUUUCUUUUCAAUAUAUUCUCCAUUAGUUAGACACAGUGCAAAAAGUUUUUCAUAAAUGUGUUUUAAUCCUCGGUUAGAGUUAAUUUAUUCUUAAUGACAGUAGAAUGACAUCAUAAUCACAACUAAUCUCAAAAACUUAUUUAAUCAACUUAAUAUUAAAUAAUAAAAUUUUAAAAAAAAAUCGAGGUAAUCAAGCAACCCGCGACCUGGACAAAUUCCAACAGGAACACAAGAUUGGUUAUGUAAAAGAGAAGUGCAGAAGGACCAAAUAAUUGCUCACUCCGUGGAAUAAACAAAUAUUAGUCUAUCUUGGACAUGAAUAGAGAAAGGUUAUUAUAUUUUCAAAUAUUUGUGAUUUGAGAGUUGUGUUUAAUUUUAUCAAAAUAUUAAAACCGCUGUCUUUUAACUACACUGAUUAGGCUCCACACGGUGCAGACUUGACGAACAUUGAAUGUCUGUAUUAAAGCAUUGAAGUUUCUGAGCAGCGGCACGGCUGUGAUUCGAAGACAACAUCUGUCAACUUGAAUUUCCUUGUUGGUUACUAAACGUUUUCUUCCCGCGCUUGCCAACCCGCGUGGCUCUACACACUUAAAUUUUAAAGAAUUACAUUAGGCUCCACACGGUGCUGACUUAACUAGCCAUGCCUGUAUUAAAGCAAUUGAAGGUUCUGAGAACCAACACGGCUGUGAUUAGAAGACAACAUUCCACCUUGAUUUUUUUUUUCAAUUGAAGUUUUUGCUUGCUCAAAUAAUUUAUCUAUGCUAAAGUCAAAAUGUAUUUUUAUAACGAAAUAAUUACUUUCUCAAAUAAUUCUGAUUACAAAACUUUAAAUACCAUUGAAAAUGAUUUUUCAAUAAGAAAAAUGCAUACAUGCCUAGUUGCUCAUAUGCUAAUGUACUUAUCCACUACUGUGCUAAUUUGUGAAAUAUUUUUGUCUAUUGCGUGUAGAAAAAAACUCUCAAAUUUCUCUUUGUUCUCUGUUGUACCAUCAAAAGAAAAAUCCAAAGUGAUAAUGCAACAUCCAAAAGUAUAAAAUAUGGUAUAAAAACCAAAUAAAAAAAAUAAUAAUUAGGGAUUAAAUUAAAAAAUAAAAUAAGAAUUUUUUUUUAAAAAUAGCAAUAAAAAAAUAAAAACUAUUAUUUAAUGAAGAAAUUAAAUGAAAUAAAAUAUUGAAAGUUAAAAAUAAAAAAUAAUAAAUCAAGAAAAUAAUAAGAAAAAAGAAAUUAAAAGAAUAAUGAUAAAAUUUAAAUUUAAAAAUUUUAAAAAAUAAAAUGAUAAAGGAAAAAUAAAUCAAGAAAAAAGUAAAUUAUAUUAAAAAAAAAAACAUUCAACAAAACAAGAAUUAAAUUAGAUACCAAAACUAAAUAAAAUAACUGACUGGGCUCUACGUGCAGACUUUGACUAGCCAUGCCAAUUGAAGUUUCAGAGAAGUAACAUGGCUAUGAUUUGAAGACAGCAUUCAUCAACUUGAAUUAGCUUGUCGGUUAGUAGGUGUCUUUGUCCCGCACUGGCCACUCCGCGUGGGUCUCACACGCCAGGCAUGAAAGAGAAGAAUGCCUCAAUCAGAUGAAUGAACAUAAAAGAUGGAAGAAAAGAAAAGAUGGAGGGGUUGCUUUUGUAUACUCCCCAAAGUCAAGAACGUCCUUUAGGUGGGUCUCCACGAAGAAAUUUUGCAACCAAGAGGCAAUGUACCCUUCACUUUCAUAUCCAAAGAUCGCAAAAGAUCUGAUCAAAACUGUGAUGCAAUUUUGCCCGUGUGAGAUGGAGGAACUUCCCGGAGGAGGGAGGGUUUUUAGGCGAGUUAUUAGUAGGGGAAUAAGGCUUGGUUUCAUUGCUAUGGAGGAACUUCCCGGAUUCCGGCUACAAGCCUAUCUACCUAUCUUUAACUUGUCCUUGUGGGUGUGAGUUGUGACUUCUGCUUCCAACAUAUGGAUUGUGCUUUAUAUAAUUUUAUAAAGAUCCAAAAUUGCAUGAAAAAAAAUAAAAAUAAUAUAAAACUUUAAAGAGAGAAAUAAUUAAGCGUUGAAGAGACACCAUAAUUCUAUUAUAGGGAAACCUCAUGUUACUCUCCAACUUGUAUAUCCAUUCUCAAUUACAUUUAAAACCUAUGAAUUUUUUCAAUUAGGUUCCAAACAUUUCAAAAUAUUCUCAAUUAGUGUUUUUUUUUUUUCUGUCAACGUUGUCGGUAUUUUUGUCAAAUCUUCUUAAAACUGAUGUCUGUUUUAGAGCAUAAAUAUACAUAUUGGAUAUAAAAAAUGUGAAUACUCGUAAAAAAAACAGUUCCUCUAUUUUUAAAAGAUAAAUUAAUUAAUCUUUUUUUAAAAAUAAAUUACCUAGUUCAUUGACCAGGUUAUUUUUUUUAUAAUAUUUAUUUAUUCAUUUCCUUUCUUCUAUUUUCUUUUUUAAAAAACGUAAAUGAACAGAAAGGACUAAAUAAUUUGUUUUUUAAAAAAUAACUAAUUAAUUCAUUUCUCAAAACUAAAAGGACUUAGUUUUAUAAUUUAGACCACAAGGGUGCAUUGGAAACCUCGGACUCCAAGGGUGAGUCAUCUCCACGUGACUAUUGAGGAUUAGGAUGAAUAUUAAAAGUGACCUUACCUGCAACACGUGGUCGUAUGGUCUUUCAAUUUCAGGUGACACAUGGGUCCCACAAAACCAUCAUCAUUUUAUUUCAUUUUCCCCUGUGCCUUGUGGAGAGAAAAAGAAAACCAACCAAGUCUUCUUCCUCCCUCUCUCCAGGACAGGAAGCGGGACCCAAUCUCAAAUACCCAACCCAAUCCUAGCCGUUGAUUGUUUUUUUCCUGGAUUCCUACUCUCUCUAUCUAGCUAUCUACCUGAUCCAGCUGGAUUUAGCUGUUACAAACUGUAACAAUCAUAUUUCACCCGCUUGAGUUGAGCUUGAGCUAUCUACCUAGCUAAGCCAAAAUUAGUUCAAACCGAUCGGUUUUGGUUUGUUUUUUUAGGAUAAAAAGCUGGUUUGGCUCGGUUUUCUUGGUUUUGGCUUAUUUUUUUCCGGUUUUGGCUCUGCUUUUGAUUUGGCUCGGUUUUUUCUGAUUUGGAUCCAAUCUGGUUUGGUUUUUUGGUUUUAGACUUAUAAAACCGAAAUCAAACCAACUGAUUUUUUAAAAUUUUAAUUAAUUUUUUUUAUGAUUUAAUUUUUUCAAUUAUUUUUUUUCCAGUUUUUUAAUUUUUCGAUAUUUUUACUCACUCCAUCGUAUGUUUUGUUUUUUACAGUAAAGAAGGCUGGUGUUCUUACUAUUAGUUUUUUUUCAUAUAUAUAAAUUAAAGAUCAUUAAUGGAAUCUGCCAUGGAAAGAAUAUUCAAAUAUUAGAGAAAUGCACAGGGACAAAAUAAUUGCUCACUCCCUGGAAUAAUCAAAUAUUAGUCUAUCUCGAACAUGAAUAGAGAAAGGAAGAAAAGAACACGUCAUGACUUUGAACAGAGGAAGUAAUAAUUGCCCAUUCGCCUUGAAAUUCUAGCUGGACAGCAUUUGGAAUUUCACGAGGCAAAAGAUUCUUAACAAUGAGUUAAAUCUCCUUUUUGAGGUGACCUGACCUGUCGGAAUUGCUUUAUAGACAAGAAUGGAUUCAUGAGUCAUAUUCUACAAGAAACAAGCAAGUCAUUUGACUCACAUAACAAAGAUGGAAAUAUAUUUCCCCUUUAAUACAGAGCUAAAAGGGUACGCUAGAAAUUUAAAAAAUUUUAAAAGUACAGUCCAAACAUUGUAUAAUUACCCUCACCAAACUCUUUCAAUAAUAGAUACCAUUUGUUACUCGCAUAUUACAUAUAGGUAUUUCAAAUUCACGUGUGCUUGCUAGUGAUUUUCUUCCCAUGCACAUAUCUCAAGUAAAUGAAAGCAGGCUUCUUGGAACAUGAAGAAACUGAGAGGUGCCCGUGCCCUUGCCUUUUCAGCUACAGCGAAGCACCAAUCCAGAGGUCCGUUCAUGGCUUUUCAGCAAACAAAGGAAACCAUUGGCGAUGCUUUUACGGAGUGCUCAAUCACUUUCAUAUUUUUUACAUUAGAAUUUAGAUGGAUACAUGUGAGUGUCGAUAGGAAAUAUGCCUUCAUCUGUAGUCGCCUAGUAGGUCCUACCGGAAAGAAACGCUGUCAAUUCCUACUCCAUGGUGGUGGGUGGGCCUUCUGAAAGCAGCAUUCAGCGGGGGAAGUCCUCAGUCAAUUCCUACUCCAUGCUUUUACAGAGUGCUCAAUCACAAUUGUUGCCAGUCGGGUUAUAAAUUUCAUUUUACUAACAAAACAAUGUUCCUGGGCAACACAUCUCCCCUCGAGUUAUAAAUUUCAUUUUACUUUUUUUUUUCGUUACUGACAACGUAUAAAUUUCAAUUUACUUAAUUUUUUACUGAUAAUUUCAUUAUAACUUAAUAACAAAAUGUAAGAUCAUAUAUACUAAGAUUCGCUCCAAUAGAAGCAAUGACCAUGAUGCAGGUGACACAUGGAAAAGUUAUACAGUAAAUGUACGGGUCAUUCUCAGGGCUUUUUUUUAUUUUAUUUUUUUCUUGUAGUUUUUCUAAUAUACUCAUGACAGAGUAGACUUGUCCUAUCUAUAGACGAAUCAACUGUUCAGAAAUGUUCCACAAAGAGUAUGGCAGGCCCAAAAACACUCACUAUGUUUUGUUAAUGUAGGCAUGCAGCUGCUCUUUCCUGGGCCUUUCUCUUUGUUGUUUUUAACAAAAAAGCAAGAGAAUCCAUUUACUCCAAACACCUUCUCCAGGCAUUCAUAUCAAACGAACCCUAGCUACGUGUGAAGAAGAUUGAAAGAGAAUGAUCAGUGUAAGGAUACAUAAGAGGAUUUAAAAGCUGUGAAAGCUUGCUCAUGUAGUCGCUGGAUGAAUUAAUCGAGGAGUUUACAAAUAGGCUGGAAUUGCAUCGACACUGAAAUUAACACCUUCAAUUACAAAAAUGAUUUUUGACAUUUUGCAGAUAUGGUUCCUUAUCUACAGCUCUAGUGAUAUUUAGAGAGAGUUUUCGGCAAAUGCAGCCCACAUUACUAUUCAAUCCUCAUGGAUGAUGCGUGGCAUCAGAUCGAAUUGUUGAGUUUUCGCGUUGAUAAUCUUCAAAAUUUUCUGCAUUUGGACCUAACCUGUGAGAUGAAGGUUUUAUUCGUCAUGACUGUUGCAAAAACUUAUUUAAAUCAUCGUUUAUUUUCAAAUUAAAGAAAAAUAUUUAUGAUCACAUUUAGUUAAAAGUUACUCUUUAGAAUCAAAUUGAACUAGAUUUUUUAAUUCAUGUCAUCUCAACUAACUUUUAUCAAACGCUUAUAAGAUCAUAGAUCCUUAUGAAUAUAGUAAUUUUUUGUAGUUGAAUAAUGGGUUUAAUCAAAUCUCCAUGCUAUUAGAUUCAUUUUUCAUGACACAAAAAGGUGAUAGCUUGAUGUAAAAAUUCUAACACUUGCAAAAUAGUUUUUUUUUUAAUGGAUUUGAAUACCUUCAAAUGCUUAAUUAAGCAAGAGGAAAAAUAUAAUAAAUAUGCAAAAGAAUAUUAAAUUCUAAUAACAAAAUUAUUUGUUUUUGUUUUGAUAUGAAAAUAUGUAUUUUAUAAGAAAAUGAUGAGUGUAUGUUGAGAUUGAAAAUUAUAAACCUCUUAUAUGGAUAGUUUAAGGAGUAUCUAUACCCAAAAACAUUAUCAUUUUCCUUAAGUGAAGGGGGUUUGAAUGUUAUUUCACCAUGAUAGCAUUAAAGAAGAACAAAAAUCUUUCAUAUAUAUAUAUAUAUAUAUAUAUAUAUUAAAGAGAGAAAAAUAUUUCUAACAUAAAUAUUAAUAAAAUUAAAAAUAAUACGUAAUAAAAAACUCUUGUACACCGAAAAAUAUAGAUUGAACAUGAUUCAACUAAAGAACUUGAAUAAAAUAAAAAUAUCAAGAAAUUUGAUACGGGUAGAAGCCACAAGACAAUGCUCAAAAGGUAUUAAGCCUAGCAUGGGCCUAAAACCUUUUUUAAAAUGUUCUUCCUGAGUUGUCGUUAAAACAUGCUUGGAUUAACAUGUAAAAUGAUAAGAGAAUAAUAGAAUUUGCUGGAAUGAAAAUUAUUAUUGAUUGCAUUGCAUAUUUAUAUAAGAGUAUCUACAUUUAUUCUCUUCUACUAUGAAUCCAACACUUGGAAUUCAUUGUCCUAUAAAGAAUUAUUAUUACAGUAGGGAAAUCAUGUAUAAAUUAUUCAUUCCUAAUAUAUCUCUAUCAGGAUUCCUAAUACUCCCCUUCAAGUCGAAGAGUGGAUGUCCUACACUCCCAACUUGUGAAUCAUAGGAAUGAAGACAUCUUUUACUAAGGGUUUGGUGAAGAUGUCUGCCAAUUGAUGGUCAAAAUGAACAUGUCUUGUUAUCAUAGAAUCAUCUUGAAUUUUUUCCUUGAUAUAGUGACAGUCCAUCUUAAAAUGUCAGGUGCACUCAUGAAACACUAGGUUGGCUACAAUGUGUAAUGCAACCUUGUUAUCAUAAUGUAGUAAAGCAAGUUCAUGAUGUAAAAGGCCUAAAUCCCUCAACAGACAUCGGAGCCAUGUCAACUCACAACAUGCUCCUGUCAUUGCACGAUACUUUGCCUCUGCAGAGGAGAGUAAGACUGUUUUUUGUCAUUUUGAUCUCCAGGAUAUCAAUAAGGGUCCAAGAAACACACAAUAACCCGUGGUAGACCUCUGAGUUAGUGGGCAACCUGCCCAAUCCGAGUCUGAAUAAGCUCUUAAUUUGUAAUCAGUGUGUGAAGGAAAGAAUAACCCUUGACCAGGAGCUCCUUUCAGAUAUCGGACAACCCGGAAAAGCCAGCUUCCAUAUGAAGCUUCCGGGGUUGGUGCAUGAAUUUGAGGAACUGCAAGUUCCUCAAUGGUGGAAGUUGUUCACGGUGGUCAACACAUUUCAUUGUAUAUAAUAAUAAUAAUAAUAAUAAUAAUAAUAAUAAUAAUGUACUCAAAAUUUAGAAGUUAUAAAAUAAAGAUUUUGAAUUUUUAUAUCUUAUAUAAGAUAAUAAUUCUUAUCAAACAAUUUCUUACCGUCAUAAUCAUUAUAUCAGCCACAAUAAAAACUAUCGGAGCCAGGUUGUUGGGCAUAACCUAGAGCAUUCUUGCGUAUAUUUUCUAAAAGAGAAAGAAAACAUUUUUUCAUGAUUUUUACUUUUUUAUUCUUAAAUAAACAAACAUUCAAAAUUAACUUAAACAUUAGGAUGCAACAACAACUCCAAUUCCAAAAACAAAAAAUAACAAAAUAAUAUGAAAGCAAGUAACACUCAUAUUUAUACAUUCUAAAAAAGAUAUACCCAUCGCUCUUGCGUGAGCUGCUCCAAGUGAUCUAGUCACCAUCAACCUCCAACAUCUCACUCAAGCAUUAGAAAAACAUCUAGGCAUAAAACAAGCCCCAUGACUCACAUAAAAAAAAUAUUUCAGCUUCCAUUGCCCAGAAACCUCCCUCCCUCCCUCAGUUUUUAUGGUUUAAUUCUAUAAUAAACUUCAAGCUAUUAGGAUAAUAUUGAAUUUAUAUUUAAACUAUUUUAAUUAUAAUUAUUCCGAGUCAUCAGAUCAUAUGUUGCUACAACGUAAUUUUUCUAUAGACAAAAUUUAUUUUAUAAUGCCGGUGGGGUAUCUUUUGGAGUGUUCAUGUAGAAAUUUAAGCAGAGUAAUGAAGAGACAUGAGGCAGUGCAAUAGUGAAACAAAGUUAUUCAUUCAUACCUCUUUCUUAUGUUGUACAUGUAGAGUGGGAAAAACUUGCAGCAAGGAAAGACAAUCUUGCGUAUAUUUUCUCCCAUGAUUAUUGCUAAGAUUAUAUGUUAAUAAUAAAUACACAAUCAUAUCUAAACUAGAUAACAAGUAAGUUAUACUUGAUGAGUUGUUGCCAAUGGUUAGGUUUCAGAGAAAGACAUGGCAGCUCCUCCUUUACGGGUAUGCUAUAUAUAUACUUCAUCCAACCAACAAAAGAGAAGUAAUAUAUUUUUCUCUGCAGACAUCUACAGACAAAGUUCUUCUCUGCAGUGAAGCCAAUGUAUGGGAGACCUGUGACCCCUGACUUUUUUUUUUAAUUAAUAUGGUUCGAUUAAUUCUAUCCCAUAAACCUUGAAAUUAAUAACUAUAUAAGCUUUCAAUAAUCUUGAAAAGAUUUAAAUUCAUGAUCAUUAAAGAAUAAACUCAAAAUUUAACUUGUUGAGUUACCCCUCAAGAUUUCUAAUACCCUGACUCUUGUUUACACACAAUGCCGGCGGUGCUAGUUAGGGGUGAUCAUUUUCGAUUUGGUUCGGUUUGAUUUUUAUUAAAAAAAAAUAACAAAACCAAUUUUUUUUUUAUUAAAAAAACCAAAACUAGUUCAAACCGACCGGUUUUGGUUCGGUUUUUUAGGACAAAAAGCCGGUUUGGCUCGGUUUUCUUGGUUUUGGCUAGGUUUUUUCCGGUUUUGGCUCUGGUUUUUUGAUUUGGCUCGGUUUUUUUUGGUUUGGGUCCGGUCCGGUUUGGUUUUUUGGUUUUAGACUUAUAAAACCGAAACCAAACCAACCGAUUUUUUUAAAAUUUUAAUAAGUUUUUUUCACGAUUCAAUUUUUUCAAUUAUUUUUUUUCUAGUUUUUUUAAUUUUUCGAUUUUUUACUCACUCUAUCGUAUGUUUUGUUUUUUACAGUAAAGAAGGGUGUUCUUACUAUUUUUAUUUAUAUUUUAUAUAUAUAUAUAUAUAUAUUAAAGAUCAUUAGUGGAAUCUGCUAUGGAAAGAAUAUUCCGUUAGCAAUUCUAAUUUUUUAGAUUUUUUUAAUUUCGACAACAAUUUUUAAUGCUAGCAAAAUAUUUCAUUGAUAUUUUUAUUGGUAUUAGAAAUCAUUAACGAGAUAAAAAAGUUUAAUGAGCAACUUUUUAAAGAUAAUAUUUCAUUAGUAAUUUCAUUGAUGUUUUCAUUGGUGUUAGAAAUCAUCAAUAAUUUCUAAUAAUAACAAAAUUCUCUCUAAAUACUGAUAUAAUAUUCUUUUAACAUUCCUUAAUUUUGUGCUAGUGUUUAACGUAAAUAACUUCCUUUUGUUUUUCAAUUAAACAAAUUAUCAUACUUUAAAUUGCAUACUGAUAUAUUUUUUUUCUUACUUUAAAAAUUAACUUAAAAACUUACAUGUAGUAUAACAAGAGUUAUUGCACCAAUGAGAACUAAAUACCAUUAUCUUGUAAAAAAAAAAAAGUAGGUUGCAGUCGAGAAAUAAUUUAUUUCCAUUUUAAUUUUGUAUUUUUGUACAAUUGUUUUAGGUUUUUUUGGGCUAAUAAAUUAUUAUUUUUUUAAGUUUUAAGGAUGUUGAUUAAAUUAUUUUUUUGAUGAAAAUAAUGAAAAUAAAUUUUUAGAUAAAAAGAACAUCCUCUCAAUUUUUAGUCACUUUUACUAGAAUUUAGAUGUGGAAGUUACACGUCAUUUGUUUCUUAAAAAAAUUAGAAAGAUGACAAAUUUGAAAAAAUAAUGAAAAAAGCCUUGAGAUGCAGUGGCAUAGGCUAGCAGACCCGCAUGCUUAGACUUAUUUUUAAAGGUUCCAUCUUGCUAAGCCACAGGACGUGUACCUUGCUUUUAUUAAAAAAAAAUUCCAAUAAUUUUGGUGUGAUUUCUUAAAUUUUAAUUAAUCAAAUAUUUAUUAGUUAUAUUAUUUUAUUAGAUUCUUAAAGUGAUUAAUUAUAUAUUUAGAUAUUAUUUUAGUUAAAGUUGAUCAUUUUUUACCAUGUUUUAGAAUAAAAUUAUUUCUGAACGUGCGGUUGAGAUUUUCAAGCUCGGUCUCUAGGCCCCUAGCAAGUCCAAGCUCUUGAAGAAUUGGGGAAUUCAAGUUCGCCAUGAUUGUACUCGCGAGAGCAGAAGUAAUUGCAUCAGCCACAGCUUGUUUUCGAAUGGAAAAUAAUUGGAUGUUGACAAGAAGAAGUAGAAAAUGUGCAAGGAUAACCAAAAGCAGGGAUGAGGAGACAGAGCAGUGUGGCAUGAGAAAUGGCAAAGGUGAAAGUGUCUGGUGAUGGUCUUUACUCUUGCUAUUGAUCAAUUCUUCAUUACAUUAAACACAUUAUACGUUUGCAAAAAACCCACCAAAGACCACACCUCCCAUCUAAACUGCCGUCCUUGACUAUUAUAUUGAUUAGGCUCCACACGGUCGAGACUUGACUAGCUGUGCUUCCAAUAAAGCAAUUCAAUUUUCAAAGAAGGAACAUGGCUGUGAUUUGAAGACAAGAUUUGUCUGCCGGUGUGAACACAAACUUUUGUUCAAAAUGUGAGCCAAAAUCCAAUAUUAAUCUAGUAUAUCAAAAAGUUGUAUUUUUUUUUUUGUGGUUGUUAUAAUUCUCUCUCAUCAAUUAAAAAUUUUUAAUCUUUAAUAUUGAAUUUUUAGGUUUAAAAAAGGUAAAAAUAACAAGUAAUCAAUUCUUUUUCAUGUUAAUUAUGGUUUGUUUAUGAAAACAUUAAAAAAAAAUAAGAUUUAUAAAGAUUUGAAGUUUAUGUUUUUAAAAUGAAUUCAUGAUUAUUAUAAAUUUAAGGUCAAGUGAUUAAUUUUGGAUGUGUUGUUAGAAAUAAGAAUUUGUGAAUUGAUUUGUUUAAUUAAUUUGUUAAGGGUUAAGAAAUUCGCUUCAACUUUGCUAGAAAAUCUGGACAAAAUAAUUUUGAGGUUGAAGAUAAAAAAAUUGUAUUUUGGUCCUUGAUUUAUGAAAAUUACAGUGUAGUUCCUAAACAUUGAAAAAUUAUAAUUUAACCUCUAACUGUAUUUUGGGAUUCUGAGUAGUAUUAUUAUGAGGUUAAGGAUAAUGACUCUCAGUUUAAUAAUUGAUUUGAGAUUUUUUUAGUGGGCCUUUAAUUUUGAAAGUUUACAUUUUAGUCCUUGAUCUUUAAAGAAAUGAUAGUUCGGUCCUUGGUUCAUUUCUAGAUAGAAUUGAAAAUGGUUUGUUGGUAAAAUUUCAGUAUGGUUAUGUAUUUACAAUUUGCUCCUCCAAUUUUGGUAAAAUUUUGUUUUGGUUCGUGAUUUCUAAAAAAUAUCGUUUUAGUCCUUAAACUCAUAAGAAUAAACCUGUUUUAUUUUAUGCAUUGAAAUAUUUUAUUUGUUGUUUUGGGUUGUUUUUUAGUAUAUUCUAUAUAUUUUUUUAUAAGCUCUCCUAACAAUCAUCAAUAAAAUUGCCAUAGCUUGUUUUCGAAUGGAGAAUAAUUGGAUGUUGACAAGAAGAAGUAGAAUAGGUGCAAGGAUAACCAAAAGCAGGGGUGUAAGCAAGAAAUGGUAUGUGUUGAGAAGACAGAGCAGUGUGAGAUGAGAAAUGGCAAAGGUAAAAGUGUUUGGUGAUGAGCUUUUCUUCUGUUAUCGAUCAAUUCUUCAUUACAUUAGUGAUUAAUAAUGUGGUGGUUCAAUUUUAUUAAGAUAUUAAAACUGCCGUCCCUGACUAUAUUGAUUAGGCUCCACACAGUUCAGAGUUGACUAGCUAUGCUUACAAUAAAGCAAUUGAAGUUUCAAAGAAGGAACAUGGCUGUGAUUUGAAGACCGAAUUUGUCUACUUGAAUUGCCUUGUUUGUUAGCAAACGUCGUCUUCUCUACGCUCAUUUUUUUUUUUAUCAGUGUCCAGUGGCCUUCGGUGACCCCAUAACCAUGCAGCCAAGCUGCGCAAUGGCCAGACCCUCGGAAACACCAAUAUUUUCCAGCGCUAGUGAAUGCAAGUUGCCCAAGAUUGUAAAUGCAAGCGCAGAAACAAGUGCACCAGCCAUGUUCUCUACUGAAGUGAAAAUGGGAACUGACACGGGUAAGAUAAAUGUUUUCCGACUAGGGUUCCUUUUCUUUUAUUUUAUGACAAGGAGAUAAGAUGAAGAAUGAUUCAAUGUCGCAAAAUCGACAAGAUCAAAAGGGUUCUAAAAUUAGAAGUGUAAGAUCAAAUGUAGGAAUUAGUAUACUUCGAAGGCACAACAGUCCUUGGAACAAAAAAAAAAAAAACUUGAUUACCCCAGAGACAGGACAACCAAGAACACACCAGUACGGCAUCCAUGGAGCUAUUUAACAUCUUUCUGUAUGCAGCAAGGUGGUCAUGGCCAUACCUGGGUUUUUUCCGAAGUUUUGAACCUCCAGAACCAUAUUUAUUUGAACAUAUAUGUUUACUCAAAUGGAAAAUCUAGACAGCAAACUUUAAUUUACAAUGCACUAGUGAACAGCCCUUCAUAAUCUGGAAAACAAUGUAAAUGCUAUUAUUAAUAGUUUCACCUUGUUAAGCCCAAAUGACUUUCACUUAAAGAGGAUGUGUUAGAGAAUAAUAUAAAUCAUAUUCUGAGACCUCACCUAAAAGCUUAAGCUUUUGAGUUGAGAUGAUUCUUUGACACUCUCGUCGCAACUUCAAUUUCAUUGAAGCCUUAGCAUUUUGUUCUCUUUGCUAUGUUUUCACUAGAAGCAUAUUUAUGGAAGAGAAAUCAUGGAUCUUUGGAACAACAUCUGCAUAAAUCUAAUUCAAACUCUAUCAUUGCAAUCCCUUUUGAAUUUCAUCACUUUUUUUUAAUUGAAAUAUGUGCUAAAAAGAACGUAAAGUUUAUGAGAAUUUUCUUUCUUUUGCCUAUUUAGGAAAUUCUUUAUCAAGGACGUAUAAAAAAGGAGUCAAUGGAGCUUUGCUUUGUUCUAGAUGAGCAUCCAUGCAUGGUUUAAUAGGUGGAGAAUAAAAUCUUCCAUGAAAGCUUUAGUGUGAUAGAUUUGAAUUACAACAAAGAAAGUGACAAGCUGAGCACUAAAAAAGAUCAUUCAAGAUCUCAAUUAUGAAGGUUAAAACCAAAGCAUAAAGCAUAUUAUACAUUACAGCAAAAUCUAAUCGAUCAUAGUCAAAGAUCUUACAUUUAUGCUCACCCCUAUCCUUGUGCAUAAAAACAAAAAAAACAAAAUUUGGUUUAAAAGCUACUAUUUAAAGUGUAUUAUACAUACAUACAUAUAUAUAUAUAUAUAUAUAUAUAUAUAUAUAUAAUUUCAUAUCAAAACCAUAAAAAAAAAUUAAGAUCUUAAAUUUAUGCUCACCCCUAUCCCUAUUUUUUGUAAUCAAGAUUCCUGAAAAGUAUGAUCUCAAAGCUACCGAUGUUAGAGAGAUUUGUACCGUACCAAAAUUUUAAUUCAUGUGCGCUAACUUGAAAAGCAAAUGAUCUGAAAUCAAAAUGGAACACAUGACUAGUGUGAUUAUGGACAUGGUGCAAGAAAAGGUUUUUACUCAAGAAAUUACUAGGAAACAAUUAGGUGAAAGAUGUUGUUCGGACGUAUAUUAGGAAUUUAAUGAUUAUCAAUUACAUGUUGAAAGCUAUAGAAAAUAUUAGUUUGGGAAGGUAUGUUCUUCCCAAACUAGCUUUAGAAAAUGUUAGACGGAGAAAUAUUGCAUUUGAGCAGGAAAUUGUAGUUUUACCUUUUCUUACUCCUGUUUCAAGAAAUUUGAAGUACUCUUCUAUUUGUGAAUAAUUUAAUAUUUCUUUGAGUGUAUUUUUUAUUAUUUCAUGUCAAAACCAUAAAAAAAAAAAAAACACUUAAAAGGGCAUAGUUUUGAUAUUUUUAUAGAAAAAAUUAAUUACAAAAUAUUUUCAACCAUAUUACUAAACAUGCAUCUAAGCCAUGACUCAUUUGUUUUUAGUUGGCGCAUGUUACAUGCUUCAACGACCAUUGAUAAUUUUUCUUAUUAUUAUUGAAUUUGUUUUAUUAAUUUUUUUUUAAUUGUAUUAAAAAUAUUAUUAUUAAAGUUUCAAUGUGUUUUAAAUUCUCUUUUCUCUUUCUUAUUGAAGUUUGUAAAACUAAUUUUUAUGUAUUUUUUAAAUAGAUGCACUUUCCAACUAUAAGAAUUUUAAAAAAUCACAAGUGGAAAUUGCUAUUUAUAUCAAAUUAGAUUAAUUUUAAAAUAUUUUUCUUUGUGUUAAUUAGCUUUUUAAAAAAACAAAAAAAAAUGUGUGAUUUUAUUUUAAAAAAACUCCCAUCUUAUAGCAUUGGAUUAGGAUAAAGGUGCUUUCAAAAUUUGUGCGUAGAAUAUGUUCUUUCUAAUUUUCCGAUCAAUGACCAUCCAAUGGGUUUCUUGUAACCAUCAUCAAUCCACCAUUGGAGAUAAGGUUUACAGGAUCAUAAAGCCUUGCCGUUUUGGCACCUGAUGCCAACAUUAUUGGCCUACAGAAAGACAAGUGGACAUCAAAACUACUAAAGGCCAAUCACCGCCAUGCGAGUAAAGAUAUGUUUCGGUUUGAAUUUUUUUUUUUUUUUAGAUCAAGGGAAUAUAAUGAGUCAUGUAUACAAAUAAAAUUACCGAGAUAACUGAUUUCGUUUGUAAAUCCAUCAAUAAAUUCAUUAAUAAACUGUUAACUUUUUCCUAAUACUAUUUAUCAUGUCAAUUACAAAUGAAAUUAUUGACGAAAUAUUCUAUUAAUAUUUCUUAAAAAACUUUGCAACUGUUUACUUUUUAAUUGCACUAUUAAUUAUUAUUCUUUAUAGAUAAAAUCACUGACGGAUUGAAAAUUCAUCAGUGUUAUUUGGUGGGUUUCUGAAAUUUUUUGAUUAAAUUAAAUAUUACAGACGGAAUCACCGAUAGAUUGAAAAGUCGUAGGUGAUAUUUGGCUAUUUCUAAAAAUUUUAUAUUAAAUUGAAAAUUUAAAUUAACUAUUACAGAAGGAAUAAUUGACAGAAUGAUUAAAAAUAUUAAUAUUUAAUUAUUCAUCGGUAAAACGCCCAAUAAAAAGACUAGAAUCCCUUAUUUCACAAUAGACGUGCCUCUUUUUUCUUCUUCUUUUUUUUUUUUUUUUUUUUUUAAAUCACAUCUCUUUCUUUCUCUUCUCUCCUCAACUCCUUAUUUUUUAUUUAAACAAUGCUAACUGGGUUGAGUCCACUGUUCCGGUUGGACCGGGUCCGAUUAAAAGCUAAAAAUGCAUUGAACUGGGUCCAAUCCAGUAAAAUAAAAAUAUUAAUUUUUUAUUUUUAAUUGUGUUUUAUUUUAAAAAAUAGUGUUUAACGUUAUUCAAUGACACUACAUAAAUUAUACGGGGAUUGCUUAAUGACGUAGUAUUUACAUAACUUGAUCGUAAUCCCCAUUUUAUUCCUGAUGUUGUUGCGCGCUUAAGAAACUAAGAAAACUGUAGUCCUUGUCGGAUGUAUUUCAUACGCGAUGAAAUUGUAGAUAGUUUAAUGAAACAAUAAAAAAUAUUUUAUAUAAAGUAUUUUUUAUUUUAUGAUGUAAUAGCAGUAGUUAAAUCUGUAAUAUUUAAAUUAAAAACCAUCAAUAUUAAUAUAUAUUUUUUGAAAUUAUUUUAUAACCUCAAUUUGAAAAGUAUUCUUAACCAAAUACAUUAAACUAUUUUUUAGUUCAACUUUAAUUUUAACCAAACAUAUAUAAAAUAUCAAACCAAUCUCAACUAAAAAUACUUUUUAUAAAAUAAUUUUUUUCAAAUCACAACCAUAAAAGCUAUCACAAUACCAAACACACUCCGGGUGCGUUUAUUUUCUAGAAAGUGGUUUUCCAGAAACCACUUUUCAAACUUUAUUGUAUUUGUUUGCCAUUAUGAAAGUUGGUCAACGAAAAACACUUUCCAGUCAAAGAAAAAUUUGGCUUGGUUUCUAGGAAAGUGUUUUCCUUUUAUUUUGGGCGGAAAACACUUUCCAGAAGUUGUGAAAAAUUUAGAAAUGUCAUAUUAUUUACUAAUUAUAUUAAAUUUGGUUCUCAAACUUUUGAUUGUUACAUAUAUUUUGUUUUGAAUAUUUGUUUUUCAAUUUCAUCCCUUAGAAUUGAAUUUUUAUAUAAACUUUGGUUCUUAUUUUUAUUUUGCUUUUCCCUUAUCAUUUUUUAAUUGGAAUUUUUUAUCUAUCAAAUCUGGUCCUCAUUUUUUUUAUUGUUAUUUAUUUUAUUUGAAAUAAUUUAUGAAAUGUUAAUUAUUAUUAUUUUAAUUUCUUCAUCUUUUAAUUUUUUUAUUUUUUAGAUUUGAUCUCUAUUAUUUUGAUUAUUAUUUAUUUUAUUUGAGAUAAUUUAUGAAAUUAUAUAUUUUUUUCAAUUUUAUUCUCAUUCAACUUUUUAAUUUGUAAGAUUUGUUGUUCAUUAUUUUAAUAAACUUGAAAAAAUAAAAUAUUAAUAAGUUAUUUUCCAGCUUAUUUUCCACGACAUAACCAAAUACUAGAAUGUAUUUUCUAACUUAUUUUUCAUUACAUUACCAAACAUUAAAAAAUAAUUUAUUUUUUUAGAAUUUAAUUCCUAAAAAAAAUUACUUUUCAAUAAAUAAACAGGGAUUUAACUAACACCUCCCGAGUCCUAACGGAUAUUAUGGACCCGCAGGGUACAUAUUGCCCCUCAUGAUCUUGCUUUCUUCUUCUAGGGCCCGCAUGUUGAUAUUGACCAUCUUGGGCACUUCCGUUCUCCAUUGCCAGAGACGUUCGAGGCAGUGAAGCUCCCCAUCCCGCAUUAACGGUGGUUCGCAUUGCGUUUUGAAAAUAUUUUAAAAAGAAAUUGAUUUUUCUUUUAGAUCAAGGGAAUAUAAUGGGUCAUGUAUACAAACAAAAUUACCGACAUAACUGAUUCGUUUGUAAAAUCCAUCAAUACAUUUAUUAGUAAACUGUUAACUUUUUUCUAACAUUGUUUAUCCUGUUAAUUAUAAAGGAAAUUAUUGACGGAAUAUUUUAUCGGUAUUUUUUAAAGAACUUUGCAACUGUUUACUUUUCAAUUGUACUAUUAAUUAUUAUUUUUUAUAGAUGAAAUCAUUGACGGAUUGAAAAUCCAUCAGUGUUAUUUGACGAGUUUCUGAAAUUUUUUGAUUAAAUUAAAUAUUACAGUCACAGAUGGAAUCACCGACAGAUUGAAAAGUCAUAGGUGAUAUUUGACGGUUUCUGAAAAUUUUGUAUUAAAUUAAAAAUUUAAAUUAACUAUUACAGACGGAAUAAUUAACUGAAUAAUUAAAAUAUUAAUAUUUAAUUAUUCAUCCGUAAAAUGCCUAAUAAAAAAACUAGAAUUCAUUAUUUCACAAUAGACUUGCCCUUUUUUUCUUCUUCUUUUUUUUUUUUAAAAAAAACCAUCAACAUCUCUUUUUUCUCUUCUCUUCUCUCCUCAACUCCUUAUUUAUUUAUUUAAACGCAGCUUUUGAUUUUUGCUUUAAUGCUACAUUUGUUUAUGAGAUUACGUCUGCGUUUGAAGCAAAACACAGGAGCAAUAUGUUUGGUAAUGAAAAAAACAUCAUUUACUGUUCAUGGACCCCAUUGUUAUCUGCCUUUGCAAUGGAGGAUGAGACAAAGUAGCUCUUCGUUGCUUCUGUGGAGAGUGAACAGUGGAGGGUGAGUCCACUGUUCUGGCUGGACUGGGUCCGGUUCAAAGUAUGCAUUAACCUAGUUCGAUCCAGCAAAAUAAAAAAAUUAUUUUUAUUUUUUAUUGUGUUUUAUUCAAUGUUUAAUAUUAUUCAAUGACAUUACAUAAACUAUAUGGGGAUUGCUUAAUGACGUAGUAUUUGUAGAAUUUAAUUUUAAUCCCACUUAAACUUAUUCUACUGUACACAUAACCCGAUGCUGCGGAUUAUGUUUUUUAUAAAAAAUAUUAAAAAUUUUAGCUGCAAAGCUAUACUAAAAAAUAUUGAGUUUGGCUCCAACACCUAAUCUAAGAGUAAUAUUUAUAAUGUUAAUAAUAAAAUUAAACUUGCAUGACUUAAGUUUAAGUGAGUCUGGCUAAAAGACCAGACCCAAGAAUAUUGGAUGUGAGUCUGGCUAUAAGAUCGUGUUAUAAAAAUAUGAUAAUUAAAUAGAUUAAUUAAAAAAAUAAAAAAAAAUCAACAGAAAGGAAAAAACUAAUAAAGAAAAAGAAAAAAAUUGAAUUAAUUAGGUUAACCCUUUAAACUAGGUUAUCCCGUAAAACCUGAGAUUCACGUCAUGAAAGUUUGAUAAUUAAAUAGAAAAAAAAAAGACUGGUUUACCCAGAAUUAACUGGGUUAACCCAUCAAACCAAGUUAACCCGUCAAGCCUAGGAUACGUGUUAUGAAAGUAUGAAAGUCUGAUAAUUAAAUAAAAAAAAUUGACUUUAACAAACUAAACUAAAUGAAAAAAAUAACUCAUCAAAUCAAGUUAACCUAUCAAACCCGAGAUCCGUAUUAUGAAAAUCUGGUAACUAAAUAAAAAAUUAACAUUAACAAACUAAAUCAAACAAAAAAAUUCAUUAAAAAAAUUAAAAAGAAAAAAAUAGUUAUAUAAUAUAAUGUAAUAUAAUAAUAAUAAUAAUAAUAAUAAUAAUAAUAAGUAAGUAUAUUAGUAAAAGGCAUGACAUGCCCACACGAUGCCGCGGGCUUGUGGCAUGCUUGUACAUUAUCGUGGAUUUGUGAAAAAAAUCAUAUAAAAAAAUAUAGUUAUCAUCCACAAUAUUUUAAAGAAAAAAACUACAAAGCUAUAUUCUCAACCAGUUCAAUAUUAAAAAAACAAAAUCGACAAAAACAAUUAUGAAAAAAAACACACAAAAAAUGAAAACAAGAAGAUGACAAUUUUGGAAGAAAAAAAACAAAAAACAAAUAAUAAAAAAAAAGGAAAAAAAACAUGUGGGGAAAGUUAAAGCUAAAUUUUCAAUCAUCUCAAUAUUAAAAUCAUUUAAAAAAACAUUGUAACGAUCUAAAGUGUUUUGUGUAAAAAUAUAUAACUAUAAUUGUUAACCAGCUCAAUAUUAAAAAAAAUCAAUAAAGAUAAUUUUAAUAGAAAAUAAUUGGAUGUUGACAAGAAGAAGUAGAAAAUGUGCAAGAAUAACCAAAAGCAGGGAUGAGGAGACAGCAGUGUUGGAUGAGAAAUGGCAAAGGUGAAAGUCUGGUGAUGGUCUUUACUGUUGCUAUUGAUCAAUUCUUCAUUACAUUAAAUGAAGGACGAAUUUUUUGCUUUUAGAAGGUGUGAUGUGUGCUUUAAACAAAAAACCCACCAUACCUCACAUAUUAAAGCGUGUUUAGUAGUAUGAUAAUAGUUACUUUUUAAAUAAUUUUUUAUGUUGAAAUGUAUAUCAAUGAUGUUUUUUUAUUUUUGUUAAAAAUCAUUUUUAAUAUCAGCAUAUUAAAACGAUCCAAAAAAUAUAAACUGUAUUAAAUUUUAAUAAAAAAAAUAAAAAAAACUUUUGAAUUUUUUAAAAACAUAGGUUGAACCGCGUUUCUAAACACUGCCUACGCUCGACUAUUAUAUUGAUUAGGCUCCACACGGUCGAGACUUGACUAGCUGUGCUUACAAUAAAGCAAUUCAAUUUUCAAAGAAGGAACAUGGCUGUGAUUUGAAGACAAGAUUUGUCUGCCGGUGUGAACCCAAACUUUUGUUCAAAAUGUGAGCCAAAAUCCAAUCUAAAUUAAAUUUUUGUUCAGAAUUGAAUUUUUAUAUAAAUUUUUGUUCUCAUUUUUAUUUUGCUUUUCCCUUAUCAUUUUUUAAUUAGAAUUUUUUAUCUAUCAAAUCUGGUCCUUAUUCUUUUAAUUGUUAUAUAUUUUAUUUAAAAUAAUUUAUGAAAUUAUUAUUAUUAUUAUUAUUUUAAUUUUUUCAUCUUUUAAUUUUUUAAUUUUUUAGAUUUAAUCUCUAUUAUUUUGAUUAUUAUUUAUUUUAUUUAAGAUAAUUUAUAAAAUUAUAUAUUUUUUAAUUUCAUUCUCAUUCAACUUUUUUAAUUUAUAAAAUUUGUUCCUAAUUAUUUUAAUAAACUUGAAAAAAUAAAAUAUUAAUAAGUUAUUUUCCAGCUUAUUUUCCACGACAUAAUCAAAUACUAGAAUAUAUUUUCUAACUUAUUUUUUAUUACAUUACCAAACAUUAAAAAAUAAUUUAUUUUUUUAGAAUUUAAUUCAUAAAAAAAAUUACUUUUCAAUAAAUAAACAGGGAUUUAACUAACACCUCCCGAGUCCUAACGGAUAUUAUGGACCCGCAGGGUACAUAUUGCCCCUCAUGAUCUUGCUUUCUUCUUCUAGGGCCCGCAUGUUGAUAUUGACCAUCUUGGGCACUUCCGUUCUCCAUUGCCAGAGACGUUCGAGGCAGUGAAGCUCCCCAUCCCGCAUUAACGGUGGUUCUUCCCAUGAUGUUCUUCUAACUUUUUCCAAGUCCUGAGAAAAUAAGCUUACAAAAAGUGAAGGUUAUAAAAUUGUCAUUCAGUAUCUUCCAGUUGAUGAAUAAUACUCAUAUCUCGUCUCGUAAUUAGACGUAAUGUAUAUAACGUGGCAUUAGUUAAUUGGAAUUAAAAUAGAUUGUUUUAAAAAAAUCACCAGCAGAAUUAGAUAUAAUAUUUUUAUUAGUUAUAUAAUAAGAUUUUCAAAAACGUUACUAGCAAAAUAAAACAAGUAAUUUUUUUUAAUGUUUUUCUGUCAGUAAAUUCAUCGAUAAUAAUAUUUUUUUUAUUACAAAUAAAUAAAAAAUUAUUGAUAAAAAUUUAUUGACAGAGGUAUUUUUAUCUAUAAUUUUGUUAAUAAAUUAAUUACUAAUAAAAUAAUAACAUAAAUACUAAUAAAAAAAUUUCAUUCAUAAAUAUAAAAAUUUUAAUAGUGGAUAAUGGCCUGGUAGAGCUCGUGUCUUGACAAAGUCUAAAAAUGACAAGUGACAAGUGACAAGUUGACAACUUGUCAAAUUCAUAUACAACUUGGUUGAGUAGCCGCACAAUAAAAAAAAAAUAAAAAAAAAUGCUGAUGUAUCAGUUUUAGUAAGAAAAUACCAGCAUUUAGAACCCUAUCGGACAUUCAAUUUCGUUUUAUUUGCGGUGAUAUGUUCUAUCAAUUCAUAAUUAUCGAUUCGAUUUAUCUAAUUAAUUUUUAUUUUUUUUAUAUAAUAAAAAACAACUUCGUUUAUUUAUGUUUAGUUAAUUAUUUAUAACUUUUAUGCCUAAACGAGCCUGGACUUAGAUCGAAUCAGAUGACGAGCCUGGUCUCAUAACUUAGCCUUGAAGUUUAUUCUGUUAGAUCAUUAUUGUUUACUGUGUUAGGCAACAGAUAUCCCUCUAUUCAUACUCAGCUUAAUUUUUCAAUUUCGACUUUUAAAAAUAUGGAGAGAUAUAUGUCAAAUUCCUAUCGGUUCUGAUUUUAAGGAAAAAUAAAAAUUUAUUAAGAAUUAAAAAAAUUCAAAAAUGCUAUUUUUAAUAUAAUUUGAAAAAAUAUUUUAAACUUUGUUUUAUAAAGCUAAAAAAUUACUAAAAAAUAUAUUUAAUUUAUAUUCAUGUAUACAACACUUGUUAAUUUAUUUAAUACUUGUUAAUUUAUUUUUUAACUUUAUUUAAAGCCAACAAUGAUUAAAAAAUAUAUUUAAUUUUUAUAACACUUUUUUAUGUAUUCAAUAAAAUUUUCGUGAAAAAUUAAAUUGAAAAAUCAUGGCUAUGAAAAAUAAAAAAUACUCAUUUACUCCCUCAAAUAUGUUUCAUCAGUAAAUCCAUAAUUUUUCUUCGCUGAAUAUCAUUAGAUUUUCAUAAAAAGAUAUGAUUAUAAAGGUGAACAUCUUAGUGAUUUUUUAAAUUUUAUUAUUAUUUUUAGAGUUCUUAAUAAGAUUUUUUUAAAAUUAGAACCAAUAGAAAUCUAACUCGUGUUCUUCCAUAUCUUUAAAAGACAAAAUUAAUGAAAUAUUAGGCUUACUCUGAACAGAGAGAUCUAUACUGCAUGCCUAGUAGACAAAAUCAUAGAAACCCAAUUAUAUAAAUUAAAACCAUGAGGCUAUCUUUAUCAAAUAUCAAUAUAUCAGAGAGAUUCAUAGUACCAUUAAACCAAAGUUAUACCUAAACUUGUCAUGCAAUAAAACACGUGCAUAUUCAUACAAUAAAAAUAAUAAAUAGACGUAUUUCUCCCUUUCUAUUACAAAGAUCAUUGCAAUACUUAGUCGAUGUAAACGGAAGGGAUGUGAGCUAUCUUAGGCCAGUCCUCUCCUCGCUCCUUCUCGCACCUUUUCUUCAAAUUUGGACAAUUGCGCGAAUCAUCAACUCGCUGAGGUUGCUGAGACUCUGUAGCCCUUCUGGCAAACAUACCAAAUUAGGGCAAUACUGAAUUUCCAGGCGUGAAAGGGAUAUGAGAUAACCAAUUUGAUUUGGCAAGGAAGUUAAUCCCUUGCAUUUAUUGAGUCCUAGAUAUCGGAGAGAAGUAAGAUGUUGGAUACUCUUUGGCCAUGAAUUCAGCUCUGGACAAAAUUCAAGCUUCAAAAAUUCAAGUGCCGUCAGAUAUUGCACUCCCUCGGACAGAGACACAAAUUUAUCACAUUUUCUAACAGAUAAUAUACGAAGAGAAGAUAAGCCGGACAACCCAUUCAUUGGCAGGGUGUAUAAUCUUGUACAACUAUUUAUAUCUAAAAUCUCCAAAGAAGUGAGUUUUCGAAGACCUUCCUCUGGCAAGCUUUCAAGUUCAUCAAAAUGCACGACACUCAACCUUUUAAGAGCUGAAAGGUUGUCAAAUACCUUGUCAAAAGACGGUAGAUUUCUCAUCCAACCCAUACAUAAGAACUCGAGGAGUGUAUGAUUUUGCAAGAACCCAUCUGGAAGCAGCCUCACAUCAAUCCCUCCAAUAUCAAGGUAUGUGAUAGAAGUAAAUUUCAUAACUGACAUCAGUAACGAAGCAUUGCCUCCAUCGAUGAAUAACCUUUUGACGGAAGGUAUAAUUGGUAUUUCGGUCAACAAGGGGCAACGAACUACAGAUAAUUCUCGAAGACGAGGAAAACUACACGGAGCCCAUUGCUCUAGUCUCUUCAUUGAAAUAAAUUUCAGCCUCUCCAAAGAUGGGAAUGGAUUUUGCUCAUCUCCAUACACAUGGCUGUCAAUACACUUCACACCAUCCAUUCCAUCUAGUUCAAGAUUCUUGAGGAACUGUAAUUUCCCAAAUGGUGGAAGUUGUUCACAGUUGCCACAUGCUGUUAGCUUCAUCUCUACUAGAUUCGGUAGCAUCAAGUUCAAGUUCAUCAUCCACUUUGGAAAUUUUGAACCCCCAUAUCCAAUUAAUCUCAAUUCUUCAGAUUUGAAUGAGGUUGAAGCCCAUCAAGGACAUCCUCAUUAUUUUCAGCUGAUUGCACACAAGUAAAAGGGCGGCGACCUCCAUUCUCAUUCCAAGAUAAAUUCAGUGAUAGAAGAGCUGUCUUCAACUUCAAAUUGGCACUUCUGGCAUCUGUUAAAUUCUUAACAGUAACAAGAUCUGUGAUGCUUAGUUCACCAGCAAGAUUAUUCAGCCUUUCUAGCUCCCCUAAGUGACGACCAUCCUCCUUACCCACAAUGAACAGGCCAAGUUUUCGCAGGCAUGUUAAUUGCCCCAUUCCAAAUGGCAUAAAUCGAAGUGAAUGACAGCCCGUGAUGUCAAGAUAGAUGAGACUUUUCAUAUGCUUCAUACCUCUAGGUAAUUCGAUGAGCCGUGUACAAUGACUCAGAUUUAGUGUCUGAAGAUUUUGGAGGGAGGUGAUUGAUGCAGGCAAUUUUUUAAUGUCGGAAUUGGAGACAUCUAGAAACCUUAGAUGUUUCAAAUAACAAAUUGACUUUGGCAAUGUAUCGGGAUAGAUACCUAUAUGCAAGGCUCUCAGAUGCUUUUGUUGGGUGAAAUAAAGAUGCAAAUCAUCAGUGUGAUGAUAAACUCCAGAAAGCAAAAUUGAGCGUAGUGACAGAGAUUUGAAAUCCUUGUCUUUUGGAACAAACCGUGAUGCCAUGUAUGCACCCACAUGACGAAUUGUUUUAGGAAUUUGCAACUGUGUAUUGCCCUCAAUCAAACAACAUUCUCUCUUCAUAAUGUACUGUGCAAGAUCAUGGAUAAGAUCGUGCAUUUUACAUGAUGUGCCCAGCCCAUCAUCCAUGACUUCUUGAAAAAAAGACCUCCCAACUAAUUCGUGGAAAAUCUCUUCACCCUUAUCGUGCAAAUCCAUUUGCCCAGUGCUCGAAAUGAAGCCAUUUGCCAUCCAUAGAGCUACCAACCGCUCCUUCCGAAUGACAUAAUCUUUGGGGAAUAUAGAGCAAAAUGCAAAGCAUUGCUUCACAGCUGGCUUUAGAUUCAUAUAACUCAAACUCAAGGCAGGUAAUAUCUGGCUUCCUUCAUUUGGCAGAUCCCAAAUCUCACUUUCUUUGACAGACAGCCACUCCCUUUCA